RNAcentral lists this long non-coding RNA (66784 nucleotides) under Hordeum vulgare. Its description in RNAcentral is "long non-coding RNA (HVUL_LNC018271)". The record is from RNAcentral. Lineage: Eukaryota; Viridiplantae; Streptophyta; Magnoliopsida; Poales; Poaceae.
CAAAUUUUCCUCAAGUGGAUGACCUAAGAUUUAUCAAUCCAUGGGAGACAUAGGAUGGAGAUGGUAUCUCUCAAACAACCCUGCAACCAAAUAACAAAGAUAAUCUUGUGUUCCCAACACACCCAAUACGUAAAUUGUAUAGGUGCACUAGUUUGGACAGAGAUGGUGAUACAAGUCUAAUAUGGUUGGUGGAAAUAUAUUUUUAUAAUAUGAAUAAAUAAAAACAACAAGAUAGCAAGUAACGAAAGUGAGAACAAACAGUAUUGCAAUGCUUAAAAACAAGGCCUAGAGUUCACACUUUCGCUAGUGCAAUCUCUCAACAAUGCUAAUAUAAUUGGAUCAUAAAACAAUCCCUCAAUGUGUGAUGAAGAAUCACUCGAAAGUUCUUAUCUAGCAGAGAACAUAAGAAGAAAUUGUUUUUAGGGUACGAAACCACCUCAAAGUUAUUCUUCUCCAUCAAUCUUUUGAGCUAUCCCUAUAAGUGUCACAAACAGCCCUAGAGUUCGUACUAAAAUAUCACCAUAUGAUACGCAUCAACCAACUCUAGUUUCACCUAGAUACUCCAAUGCCACCACGAGUAUCCGUGAAUUGAUUAUACGAUAUGCAUCAAACAGUUUCAAAUCAAUAAUACUCAAUCCAACACAAAGAACCUCAAAGAGUGCCCCAAGAUAUCUACCGGAGAAACAAGGACGAAAACAUGCAUCAACCCCUAUGCAUAGAUUACCCUAAUGUUACCCGGGGAAUCCGCGAGUUAAGUGACAAAACAUAGAUCAAGUGAAUCAAUAUGAUACCCCAUUGUCACCACGAGUAUUCAUAGAAAGACAUAUGUCAAGUGUCCUCAAAUCCAUAAAAGUAUUCAGUUUGAUAAUAAUGAAAUAUCAAAGGGAAAACUCAAUUCAUCACAACAAGAUAGAGAGGGGAAAACACCAUAUGAUCCAACCAUAUUAACACAACUCGCGAUACGUCAAGAUCGUGCUAAAUCAAGAACACGAGAGAGAGAGAGAUUACACACAUAGCUACUGGUACAAACCCUCAACCCCGAGGGUGGACUACUCCCUCCUCAUCAUGGUGGCUGUCGGGAUGAUGAAGAUGGCCUCCGGUGAUUAUUCCCUCUCCGGCAGGGUGCAGGAACAGGCUUCCGAUUGAGUUUUCAUGGAUACAGAGGCUUGCGAUGGCGGAACUUCCAAUCUAGGGUUAUUUUUGGGGGUUUCUGUAUUUAUAGGAUUUUUGGCGCCGGUCUCAUUUCCAGAUGGAUUACGAGGUGCCCACUACCCACCACGGCGCGCCAGGGCAUAGACGUGUCCUGGUGCCUAGUGGGCCCCAUGGGCCUCCCCUCGUGUGCUUCCUUGACUCUCUGGAUGUCUUCUCGACAUAAAAAAUCUCCAAAAAGUUACGUGAGAUUUGGACUUCGUUUGAUAUUGAUUUUCUACGAAGUAAAAAAGAAGCAAAAAACAACAACUCGCACUAGGCACUAUGUCAAUAGGUUAGUCGCAAAAAAUGAUAUAAAGUUGCUAUAAAAUGAUUUUGAAACAACCAAGAAUGAUAAUAUAACCCUGUGGAACAAUCAAAAUUAUAGAUACGUUGGAGACAUAUCAGCACCCCGAAGUUUAAUUCGUGCUCGUCAUCGAGUAGGUAAUUGAUAAAAACAGAAUUUUUGAUGUGGAAUGCUUCCUAACAUGUUCAUCAUAUUAUUUUCUUUAUAGCAUGGACAUAUGGACUUGUAGAUGAUUAAAAGCAAUAGUCUAUAAUUUGACAUGAUAACUUUAAUACUCAAACAUAUCAACAAGCAACCAAGUCUUUCAAAAUAUCAACGCUAAAGAACGCCAUCCCUAGCCCAUCAUGCUCAAUCAUUGAUCAAUUCAUGCAGCACACCCAAAUAUUAGCUACAUCCAAUGCUCAAGUGUGAUAACACUGUUCCGUAGUUGGUGAUUUAUAAGAGAAUAUGGAGACUUAAAUAANAAUAAAAAAUAAAAAUUGCAAGAAAGUAAAUAGAUAGGCCCUUCGUAGAGGGAAGCACAUAUUUGUAGCGGUGCCAGGGCUCAAAUCGAAAAAGUUGAGAGAUAAAAUAUUUUGGGUGGCAUACUUUUCUUGUCAAUGAAAACAACUAAGAGUUCCCAGUAUCUUCCAUGCUAAACAAAUCAUAGGCGGUUCCCAAACUAAAAAUAAAGUUUUUUCCAUUUUCCACCAUUCAUUCACACUCCACGGCUAGCGGUAUCCACAGAUACAAUUCAUACCAAUACUUUCCAAGGAAUUUAUUAUUUGACAACAUAAAAUAAAUUUUCUUUUCGUUUCGGGACUAGGCAUCCCUAUUACCGCAUACUCUUGUGCAAUGACAAGUGAAUACAAACUCAUCUUGAGAAUAACCUAUUUAACAUGGAAGAUAGCGGCCACCCCUUGCCGCUCCAUGAGCGGUACGGGCACACAAAACAUAAGUUUAUUUUGAAUAUUAGAGUUGGCACAUACAAACUUACUUAGAAUGCCACUGAAAUACCCCAUAUAGGUAGGUACGAUGGACUUAUUUGGCACAACUUUGGGUUUCGGAUUUGGAUGCAUAAGCAGCAUUCCUGCUUAGUACAAGUCAAGGCUAGCAAAUAGAUUGGGAAGCGCCCAACCGAGGAACGAAAACCAUCAUACGCGAACAUUAAACAUAAAUAACACCAAAUAAAGGAAGUGAGCCAAGCUCACUUGGCCAGUGGAGUGGAUGUACAUCCCAGCAACCCAGGUUCAAGUCCCGACAGACGCGAAUUUGGGUUCUUAUUAUUAAAAAAACUCUCUAUGGGGGGUUCCCUUACAUUUUUACUUCAAAAACACACACAGAAUAAUGCAACACAAGUAGGAUGUAAUUUCAUAGCAUAAUUGUUGACUUAAUGUGCAUGCAUACGGAAUCACAAACCUUAACACCAAUAUUCUUACUAAAGCAUAAUUACUCAUCAACAUUACUCACAUAUCACUAGCUAUCUCCAUAUCACAAAACUAUUGCAAGGAAUCAAGUUUAAUAUACAAUGAUCUUCAUGAAAGUUUUUAUUAUAUCCUUCCUGAAUAUCUAUCACUUUGGGACCAAAUUAUUUUAAAGCAUAUUUCCAUUGCUAAUUACAAGCUCUCAAACAAAUUUAAGUGGAGUACGAGAUUUAUUCAAAAUUUCAGCACCACCGUGCUCAAAAAGAUAUAAGUGAAGCACAAGAGCAAACAAUCAAACUACUCUCAAAAGAUAUAACUGAAGAUCAAUGAGUAGUCAAACAAUUAAGUAGCUAUGGGAGGAGUCUCUCUCAAUAAAGAUUUUCAUAUUUUAUAAUUUAUUUCAAACAAAAGACUAAAUAAAAAAUACACUCCAAGAAUAGCACAUAUUAUGUGAACAAAUAAAAAUUUAGGCUCAACAUAGGCUAACCGAUAUUUGUUUGAUGAAGAGAGAUGGGAUGCGUAACAUCCCCAAGCUUAGAUGCUUGAGAAUUAUUGAAAUAUUUACUUGGGGUGCCUUGGGCAUCCCCACGCUUGAGCUUUUACAUCUCGUUCAAUCCUGUGAUAUCCCGGUUUCACCUAAGUCUCAAAAACUUCAUCCACACAAAACUUGAAAAGAACUAGUGAGAUAGGUUAGUACACAUAAAAGUAAAUCAACACUUCAUGUACUGCCCAGACAAGUUUCAUAAUAAUUUUCAAACAUUAGUUACUGUAUACUACCAUUUCCACAAUUUAUAUCCACUAAUAUAAGCCAUGAAAACUCUAGGAUAAGUAGAUAACAAAACUAUGACAGCAAUCUGUCCAGACAGAACAAUCUGUAGCAAUAUAUAUACAAAGUGUACUUAUGUAUCUACACAAAUGAUGAAAAUUUAGGACCUUGUAAUUUUUAUGACAUUACCGUGUAAAAUUUUCAGAAACUUUCUACGUUCGAGAAAAAUCCACACACAGAGUUUCUGUUUUUGUGCAAUACACAUCAAACAUGUAAUUCAAGCAUUCUAAAGGCCAUUCUUGGAACUUUUUAUUGAAAAAAAGAUAAUAAAUAACAUAUAACAGAUGACAACAUAAUGAAAUGAGAUCCAAGCAAAACACGUAUCAUAUGACGAAUAAAAAUAUAGCUCCAAGUAAGAUAUACCUAUAAUGUUGGAGAUGAAAGAGGGGAUGCCUACCGGGGCAUCCCCAAGCUUAUACGCUUGACUAUUACUUGGAUAUUACCUUUGGGGUGCCUUGGGAAUCCCCAAGCUUAGGUUCUUUCUGCUCCUUAUUCUGGUCAUAUUGGCAUCUCACCUAAAGCUUGAAAACUUCAAUCACAGGAAACUUAACGGAACUUCGUGAGAUGGGUUAGUAUGAUAAAUAUAGAUCAUUCUCUUAGGUACGGUCAAGACAAGAUUCAUAGUUGUUAUUACCUGAUUCCUACUGUAUAUAUCAUUCCCAUAAAUUAUAUCACUAAAUAUAAGCUAUGGAAAGACUAAAACAAGCAAACUAUGCAGGCAAAAUAGAAUCUGUCAAAAAUAGAACAAUUUGUGAAGAUUUGAAUGAAAAACUUACUUCCUCACUGUAAAAAUUACGAAGAAAUAGGACAACGCAGAGAAUUUGUAUAUCAAAGCUUUGUAAAAUUUGCAGAAAUUGUGGACGCUCGAGUAAAUUCAGAGAAAUUCUACACUUAACGUAAAAGUUUUUGUUUUUGCACACAACCAAACAAACAAGUAUCCACACUAUCCCAAAGGCUUUACUUGGCACUUUACUUUAAUAAAAGCUAUAAAACAUGAUUAUCACAAUAGCUUAAUCAUGUGGACACACAAAAACAGAAAGUAAAAGUGUUGGGUUGUCUCCCAAUAAGCGCUUUUCUUUAAUGCCUUUUAGCUAGGCAUGAUGAUUUCAAUGAUGUUCAUAUUGGAAUAAUAGUUGAAACAUGCAAGAGAGCAUCAUGAAUCACAUGCAAGCACACUUAAGUCUAACCCACUUCCUAUACAUAGGGAUUUUGCAAGAAAUUUUUUAUUGUAGAAAUAAUCAUCUUGCUUAGGAAGGCAAACAAGCAUGACUUCAACACUUUGAACAUAAAGAGAGGAAACUUGAUAUUAUUGAAAUAUGUAGAAACAUAUAUUCCUCUCUCAUAAUAAUUUUCAGUAGCAUCAUGAAUGAAUUCAACAAUAUAGCUAUCACAUAAAGCAUUCUUUUCAUGAUCCACAAUCAUAUAAUUUUUACUACUCUCCACAUAAGAAAAUUUCUUCUCAUUCAUAAUAAUGGGAGCAUCAUAUGAAACUCGAAUACUAUAAAUUGUUUCCACAUUAAAAGAGUAACAUUUAGUAAAAAAAUAUUAAAAAUUAUGCCAAAAAUUAUCACUACCUUUUAUAACAUAAGUAUCAUCACAAUAAUCAUCAUAAGUAGCAAUUUGGUUCUCAUCAUAAUAAAUUGGGACCUCUUCCGAAAUAGUGGAAUCAUUACUAAAUGAAGUCAUGACCUCUCCAAAUACAUUUUUUUAUCAUUAUCAUAAGAUUCAACACCCUCCAAAGUAGUGGGAUAAUUAUUAUACAAAGUUGGCAUGCUUUUGAAUGCACUUUCAUAAAUAUUGCAAUCAUCAUAAAUAGGAGGCAUGCAAUCAACAUAACAAAUUUGAUCAUCCAAAGUAGGGGGACUAAAAAUUUCAUCUUCAUUAAGCAUAGAAUCACCAAGCUUGGGACAAACAUUAAUUGUGGAAAAUAAAUUCUCAAAUAUGUCAUUCUCAUCAAACAUAGCAUCCCCAAGCUUGUGGCUUGGCAUAUCAUAAGCAUAAUCACACCCAUGAUUAACAUUAUGAAUAGUACCAAUAGUAUAACAAGUAUUAUCAUCAUAAUUUCCCAAGUUGGUGCCAAAAAUAUUUUCAAGAUUGUAAGAAGUAUCAUUAUAUGCCCAAUCAUAAUCAGCACAACAAGCAAUAGGCAUAACAAAAUCAUCAUCAAUACUUUUUUCUCACAUUGUGCCAUAAGAUAAAGAAGCAAUAUCAUUAUUAAGUGCAUCACCUUCCACAAUUAUUUUAGAUUUAUUCUCAUGAGGCACAACAAUAAUAGGAGAAACAUCAUUUGGGAGGGAUACCUUUUUACCUCUACUAUUUCUUCUUUUCUUCUUGUUCACCACAUCAUGUGUGGGUUUAAUUAUUUUUUUCGAGCUUCCUAUUGAUGAGAUUGGUUGAAUAGGGAAUUCCUUCUCGUGACCUAUUUCAUCAUGAGAGAGAAUAGGGGGGAAAGUGGAAACCUUUACCCUUUCAUUAGUAUUCCUUUUAUAUUCUAUUUGUUUUCCCAUCUUUCUAUAGUUUGAAAUAUAAGCGUUCUCAUUGGAAUUUACCAUGCAAAACAUAUAGAUAUAUUUUAGAUUAGUUUCAAUAUCGUUUGGGAGCAUGAACACUUUGUCGGAAUCGGGGCAUCGUGGAUCCAGAAAGGUUCGAACAGUGGGGUGUGCUUGCUCUCUUACCCUGUUUUGCUUCUCAACCCCACGGUGGCUCUCUGGUGGCUCAAGCUAAGGAAGAUGAACAAGAACACGUGCAUAGUUUACCCAGGUUCAGGCCACCUUGCGGUGUAAAACCAUACUCCUGCUUUUCUAGAUUGCUUGAGGUGGAAGACGAGUACAAACAAGGGGGUCUUGCCCUAAUGGAGUUGGUCGAUCUCCUCUUGCUACGAAGGCCGGACCUCCCUCUUAUACAGGCCUUGGUCCUAUCCCCCCUCAAAACACACACUUGGCAGGAAGGGUUGCCACACCGUCCAUAUUGCAAGGGGACACGAGUAUAGCCUACCCUGACAAAGGUGGUCUUCGCCCGCUAAAGCUCUUUACCAUGAUGCGCAGGUGGGCUGGGGGUGACCUCCGUCCUGCCAAGCCCCCCCCCCCGGUCCUCUUGCACCAAGUAGGAACCUUUGGGGGCUGCUUUGGGAACCCGCGGGCUAGCUUUGUUCCCGUAGCACCAAACAGGAAAGCCUCUCUGUCCGUGCUGGUACCGCCCCUGCACCGCCUUCGUGGCUUGCAUCGCCCAUGUGAGGGGGCAGGGCCGUGCGGCCCACCUGAUUGCCCUCAACAAGUCCGCCCAGCAAGGGCCUCAUGGGUGGCCUCGGGAUGCACCUCAGUGGCCAGUUUGUCCUUGCACUCCUUGAUCUCGAUUCCCCAACGCGUGCCUCUCGAGGAUCUUGCUUGCUGGGCCCGUUGUCGGGAUAAAUUGGGCGAGGACAACACAUUGCACCUGGGGCCAUAGGACGACGGGCCUGGGUACCCACAGUCUCACAGGCCCGGAAGUAGCCCUCGGGUCCGUGUUGCGCAUGACUCCGCCCGGUGGGAGGGGCGAAGCGACACGGGCCCCAACUGCGUGCAGGCGAGGCUCGACGCGUGGCGCUCAGAAAUUCGUGGGACACCCCUUCUCCCCACGACGCCUCAGUAACCGCCUCGAGCUGGCAUAAAGCCUGCACGCAUAGUCGGUUCUUCAUUGCACAUCAUUGACUUGCCUCACCUCCCCGCGCCUUCCUUCCUGUGUAAGAUUGUCCCCAUCUCAGGCAGGAAGGGCAAGGAAAUGGCAGCGGCGGAAGGGCGAAAGGCACCGGAACCAGCCCUGGGUAGGUCCACAGUGCUAAAUCGUGAAGGGCUCAACAAGGUCCUCUUCAUGGUCGCGACUCAGUCCACCGAAUGGGGACCAACCAAGUUCUCAUCGGCUUCGAUUCCCAUCGCUGAGCUGACCGCAACCUCCAUUGCCCUCCAUGUUCCCACGCUCUUCACUGGCUUGCUUCCCCCAUUCUCAGAUUUCUUCAACUCCGUGCUCACGCAUUACCAAAUUCACGGGCUGCAUCUUGAUACGAGAUCCGUUCUUCUUCUCUCGUCAUUCGCCUUCCUCUGUGAGGCCUUCCUGGGUGUUCCCCCCUUAGUGGCAUUGCUCCAACACUUGUUCACCCUCCGGCUGACUGCAUCUGACCAGUGCUCUGGGUGCGUGUCCCUCCAGGCCGUGGAAGCGACGCAAGGCGAGUGCAUCGAUAUGAGGAUCAACCACACCGCAGAAGGCUUCAUGCGACAAUGGGUGUACGUGGAAGCGGGUCAGCACAAUCGCCUGCUGCCAACUCCAUCACCCCUGGUGGUGCCCAGAUCCGGGUGGGGGCACGUGAGGCUUGCGACCCAAGGCUGUCGUCGAUGAGAAGGAGGUUAGACACCUUUAGGGUGGUGGGGGUGACUGCCGCGCUGGUCGUGAGGUAGUUCCUUAGGCGAUAGAUUGCCCCCCUUCAACGCCACUCCCGUACGAUGUGGGCCUUCUCUGGGCCGUAGGAGCCCAUGUGGCUCCAUCCGGAGUGCUUGACGGUUGAUGUGCUCGACGAGAUGCUCCAGAUCCUGAUUGGUGAGACUGUUGGUGGCCUUCCCUAUAAGGGGUUCCCUUGUACAAGUACACGAGCGGGAAAGACCUUAUUCGGAUAAUGCCCCACUUCGAUUAGCAGGGGCAUAUUCCGAAGGGCCACGACAGGCCUCGGGACAGCCAUGUCCUGGUGGUUCCUGAACCGGGAGCCCUGAUGAGCCCUGAGCCCCCAACCGGGGCGACGGGGGGCGGCGGACACCUGCAUUGGGACCAACCCGAGGGCAGUACUGGCGUGUUGCUGAGGGUGCCUAAGAGGAUGAAAUGGGCCGCCAGAGACGAGUGAGUGCUGCGCCUUUGCCUUGCUUGCUUCCAUGCCCUAGGUGUGGCCGACCCCUCCUUCCGUGCACGCUUCUGGUGAGCAAAAGGACCAACAAGCCCCCUGGCCCGGCGCGUGCCCUCCCGCCAUCGGCCGGGGCUGGGGUAAUGAUGACCCACAAGUAUAGGGGAUCAAUCGUAGUCCUUUCGAUAAGUAAGAGUGCCGAAACCAACGAGGAGAAGAAGGCUCUGAUAAAUGGAUUUCAGCAAGGUAAUAACUGCAAGCACAAGUAGCGGUAACAAGUGAUUGUGUAGCGAGGUGAAACGUAGCAAGCAAAAAGUAACCAGUAACAAGUAGUAGCAAUGGUGCAGCAAGUGGCCCAAUCCCUUUUGUAGCAAGGGACAAGCCUGAACAAAGUUUUAUAGGAGGAAAAACGCUCCCGAGGACACACGGGGAUGCCUGUCAUGCUAGUUUCAUCAUGUUCAUAUGAUUCGCGUUCGUUACUUUGAUAGUUUGAUAUGUUGGUGGACCGGCGCUUGGGUACUGCCCUUACUUGGACAAGCAUCCCACUUAUGAUUAACCUCUCUCGCAAGCAUCUGCAACUACAAAAGAAGAAUUAAGACAAAGUCUAACCAUAGCAUUAAACUAGUGGAUCCAAAUCAGCCCCUCACGAAGCAACGCAUAGACUGGGGUUUAAGCUUCUGUCACUCCAGCAACCCAUCAUCUACUUACUACUUCCCAAUGCCUUCCUCUAGGCCCAAAUAUGGUGAAGUGUUAUGUAGUCGACGUUCACAUAACACCACUAGAGGAAAAGACAACAUACAACAUAUCAAAAUACAGAACGAAUAUCAAAUUCACAUGACUAUUAUUAACAUGACUUAUCCCAUGUCCUCAGGAACAAAAGUAACUACUCACAAAGCAUAAUCAUAAUCAUGAUCAGAGGUGUAAUGAAUAGCAUCAAGGAUUUGAACAUAAACUCUUCCACCAAGUAAUCCAACUAGCAUCAACUACAAAGAGUAAUCAACACUACUAGCAACCUUUCAAGUACCAAUCGGAGUCGUGAGACGGAGAUUGAUUACAAGAGAUGAACUAGGGAUUGGAGAGGAGAUGGUGCUGAUGAAGAUGCCUCCCCUGUGACGAGAGGAGUGUUGGUGAUGAUGAUGGCGACGAUUUCCCCCUCUAGGAGGGAAGUUUCCCCGGCAGGAUCGUCCUGCCGGAGCUCUAGAUUGGAUCUGCUAAAGUUCUGCCUCAUGGCGGCGGCGAAACCACGAAAAAGCUCCCGUCUGAUUUUUUCUGGACCAAGACGCUUCAUAUAGCAAAAGAGGGGGGCUAGUGGGCCGUCAGGGAGCCCACAAGCCCCUACUCCGCCCCCAGGGGGGAGUGGCGGUGUCAGGGCUUGUGGCGCCCUGGCAGCCCCCCUCUGGUAGUUCUUUCGCCCAGUAUUUUUUAUAUAAUCCCAAAAAAAUCCAGGUAACUUUUCAGGGCAUUUGGAGAUGUGUAGAAUAGUGGACUAGGAUUUGCUCCUUUUCCAGUCCAGAAUUCCAGCUGCCUGAAUUCUCCCUCUUCAAAUAAACCUUGCAAAAUAAGAGAGAAAAGGCAUAAAUAUGGUACCACAAGUAAUAUAACAGCCCAAAAAGCAAUAAAUAUCAACAUGAAAGCAUGAUACAAAAUGGACGUAUCAACUCCCCCAAGCUUAGACCUCGCUUGUCCUCAAGCGAAAACCAAGUUCCACAAACAUGUCCACAUGUUUGGGGACGAAGGUGUCGAUAAAACAUAAUACGGACAUGAGGGCAUCAUGAUCACACAAAGGACAACAAUACAUUAUAAUGAUUCUUAUGGGAAAGUAACAAUUCCUUCACAAAGCAAAGCAUGAAGCAAAAACCUUACCGAGAAGUAACCAACAAUAAACCAUAGUCAUUGAAGCAAUUGCAAUUUAUCACAACAUCAGAAAGAGUCAAAUAAGAGCUUGUAAGGCAAACCCACAUACUCAAUCAUCUCUUUUGUUUUCCACAAUUGUUACAACUCACGUGGUACUCAAGGUGUCAAAGUUUCAGCUUGACACAGAGGAAGAUGGGGGCUUAUAGUUUUGCCUCCCAACCAUUUACCUCAAAGGUAAAGUCAACAACAAUAAAGCAUAAGUACUCAACUCCAAGUUGAUAUAUGAAUAUAGAUCUUUCCCAAGCAUGUGACGGUAGGCAAGACAAAGGCAAAAAUAGGGAAUUGGUGAUGAUCACCAUGACUCUUACAAGGGCAAAAAGUAAAGGUACAAGAUAGGCCCUUCGCAGAGGGAAGCAGAGGUUGUCAUGCGCUUUUGAGGUUUGAAUGCGUGUCCUCUUAGUGUGGAGGAACGUCACUUUAUAUUGCCUCCUGUGAUAAAGAACUCUAUUAUGCAGUCUGUCGCUUUUAUGUCUUCCUCAUCACAGGUUCGUACAAAGUUUAUUUUCCACACACUAAUAGAUCAUACAUAUUAGAGAGCAAUUUUUAUUGCUUGCACCGAUGACAACUUACUUGAAGGAUCUUAUUCAAUCCAUAGGUAGGUAUGGUGCACUACUAGGAAAAGGCUUGCUAAUGGCGCACCUAUUUUGGCUACUAAUGGCGCACUAUAGGUGCGCCAGGUGCGCCAUUAGUAUCUGGUAUACUAAUGGCGCACCAGGCAGUGCGCCAUUAGUAUUGCUCACGGUGCGCCAUUAGUAUCUGGUAUACUAAUGGCGCACCAAGUAGUGCGCCAUUAGUAUAGAUCCUGGUGCGCCAUUAGUAUAGAUCCUGGUGCGCCAUUAGUAUAGAUCCUGGUGCGCCAUUAGUAUAGCUUAUGGUGCGCCAUUAGUAUGCCUCCCAGGGCCAUAUUUACCCAUAUGCUCUGGCUUACUAAUGGCGCACUAGUUGACGAUGCGCCACUAGUGUGCUUUUGAAGUGCACCACUAGUGUGCUGAGUGAUGCGCCACUAGUAUGAAUAUUUGCACAGAUUACAAAAUAUAUUAUUGCACAGAAUAUAGAUAGCACAACAUAUAAACAACAGAUUUAUCGAAUACAAUAGAAGAUUAGUCUCCGAAUACAAUUCAUCAUAUUAGUCUCCGAAUUUAAAAUACCGAACAAAGUUAGAACAUUACAAGUCUCGAGACCGUGAUUAGCGAGUUUGUCUUCACAUUACAAGUCGAUAUCGAUCAUCUAAACUACCAUCACAUAGAAGAGAGCUGCGGUCACCACGAUGAGCAUAAUCGCAAUGAAACUGGUCUUCAUCCGGUUCCUCCAACGCUCCCUCCUCUCUCCCGCUAGAUAGCGCGCGUAUCUAACUUCCGCCUCCGCCCUUGUGGUGUACCCUUUGUAACUGUUACCGCUGAAUCAGGGAAUCUGUCUCCGACACUCCUCCCAGUCGUCAUAGACUCCGGGAACCUUACCCUUGUACACGACAUACGACGACAUCUCUAUGCACUAGCCAAACAAAACGUUAGUAGCAAUUCACAGAGACAUACAAGUUCAUUAAAGUUUAAUAUUACAACUAUAACAGCACGAUUCAUGGUCCUACUAAUAAAUAGCAUCGAUUAUAUAUAAGUUGAACGACUGUCCAAACCAAAGAGACAUACAAGUUCAUUAAAGUUUAAUAUUGCAACAUGAAUUAGUAGCGAUUCACGGGAACGUGGAUGAAGCCGCCGUCUUUCGUGAUGGUCAUGAAAUUGCGGUCGUUGUCAGCCUGCAUUUGUAGCAUUGUAUCUAUCUCACUAUUGGACAGCGGAGAUCCGAGGUAGAACUGCCCCGAGGUACGAAGGACAUCUUGAUGGAUGAUUUCCGCAAACUCCGACUGNNNNNNNNNNNNNNNNNNNNNNNNNNNNNNNNNNNNNNNNNNNNNNNNNNNNNNNNNNNNNNNNNNNNNNNNNNNNNNNNNNNNNNNNNNNNNNNNNNNNAGUGGGAUGCUUGUCCAAGUAAGGGCAGUACCCAAGCGCCGGUCCACCCACAUAUCAAAGUAACGAACGCGGAUCAUAUGAACAUGAUGAAACUAGCAUGACAGAAAUCCCCGUGUGUCCUCGGGAGCGUUUUUCCUCCUAUAAGACUUUGUUCAGGCUUGUCCCUUGCUACAAAAGGGGUUGGGCCACUUGCUGCACCGUUGCUACUACUUGUUACUUUUUGCUUGCUACGUUUCACCUCGCUACACAAUCACUUGUUACCGCUACUUUCAGUGCUUGCAGUUAUUACCUUGCUGAAAUCCGUUUAUCAGAGCCUUCUGCUCCUCGUUGGGUUCGACACUCUUACUUAUCGAAAGGACUACAAUUGAUCCCCUAUACUUGUGGGUCAUCAAGACUCUUUUCUGGCGCCGUUGUCGGGGAGUGAAGCACCUUUGGUAAGUGGAAAUUGGUAAGGAAACAUUUAUAUACUGUGCUGAAAUUUAUUGUCACUUGUCACUAUGGAAACUGUUCCUUUGAGGAGUUUGUUCGGGGUAUCUUCACCACGAACGGAAGCACAAGUAGUUGUUCCUCAACCUGAGGUACCUACUGAAAAUAUCUUUUAUGAAUUUCCUUCGGGUAUGCUUGAGAAACUGCUGGCUAAUCCUUUCACAGGAGAUGGAUCUUCACAUCCACACUUGCAUCUGAUCUAUGUAGAUGAAGUUUCUGGUUUAUUUAAGCUUGCAGGUUUGCCCGAGGAUGAGGUAAAGAAGAAAGUAUUUAGUUUAUCUUUGAAGGAUAAGGCGUUGACAUGGUAUAGGCUAUGUGAUGAUACUGGAUCAUGGGGCUACAAUCGGUUGAAAUUGGAAUUUCAUCAAAAGUUCUAUCCUAUGCAUUUAGUACAUCGUGAUUGGAACUUUAUUUAUAACUUUUGGCCUCGUGACACGGAAAGCAUAGCUCAAGCUUUGGGGAUGCUUAAAUAAUUGCUAUAUUCAUGCCCCAAUCAUGAGCUCUCGAGAGAAAUCAUCACUCAAAACUUUUAUGCUCGGCUUUAUCAUGAAGAUCGUACCAUGCUUGACACUUCUUAUACCGAUUCUUUUAUGAAGAAGGAUAUUGAUCACAACUGGAAUUUAUUGGAAAGAAUCAAACGCAACUUUGAAGAUUGGGAGUUGGAGGAAGGUAAGGAGUCAGGUAUGAAUUUCCAGUUUGAUUGAGUUAAAUCUUUUGUUGAGACAAACACUUCUAGAGAUUUUAGCACUAAGUAUGGACUUGACUCUGAGAUAGUAGCUUCUCUUUGUGAAUCUUUUGUUGCUCAUGUUGAUCUUCCCAAAGAGAAGUGGUUUAAAUAUCAUCCUCCUGUAGAAAGCAACAUAGCCAAAACCAAUAUAGUUGAGGAGAAAUUCAUUGCUUUUAGUGAUCCUGUUGUUCCUUGUGCUUACACUGAGAAACCACCAUACCCUGCUAGGAUAAAGGAUUAUUCUAAAGCUCCAUUUGUGAUACGUAGGGGUUACAUUAGACCACUUGCACCCCCUGAGGAGAUUAGAGUUGAACCUAGUGUUGCUAUUAUCAAAGAUCUCCUAGCCAAAGACAUAGACGGGCAUGUUAUCAAAUUCUGUGAGGACUCCACUAGAAUUGCUAAACCUCACGCGAAAGACAAAUACGGACCUGUAGUUGGACUGCCCGUUGUUUCUGUCAAGAUAGGAGAUCACUGUUACCAUGGUUUAUGUGAUAUGGGAGCUAGUGUUAGUGAAAUACCCCAUUCUCUAUAUGAAGAAAUCAAAGAUGAGAUUGCACCUGCUGAGUCAAAACCCAUUGAUGUCACUAUUACGCUAGCUAAUAGAGACACUAUCUGCCCUCUGGGAAUUGUGAGAGACGUAGAAGUCCUGUGUGGUAAGACGAAGUACCCUACUGAUUUCCUCGUCCUUGGUACUGCACAAGAUAGAUUUUGUCCCAUCAUAUUUGGUAGACCCUUUCUCAACACUAUCAAUGCUCACAUUCAUUGCAUUAAGCAGACCGUCAUAGUUAGUUUCAAGGGUGUGUCUCAUGAAUUUAACUUCUCGAAGUUUGGAAGACAACCCCAUGAAAGAGAGUCGUCUGGUAGAGAUGAAAUCAUUGCUCUUGCCUCUAUUGUCGUACCUCCUACGAAUCCUUUAGAGUAAUAUCUUCUUGAGCAUGAGAAUGAUAUGCAUAUGGAGGAGAGAGAUGAGAUAGAUAAAAUUGUCUUAGAACAAUAUCCUAUUCUCAAGAAUAAUCUGCGUGUUGAACUGCUUGGGGAUCCUCCCCCACCAAAGGGUGAUCCUGUGUUCGAGCUUAAACAAUUGCCUGAUACUCUUAAGUAUGCCUAUCUUCAUGAGAAUGAGAUAUAUCCUGUCAUUAUUAGUGCUCUCCUCUCAGAUCACGAAGAGAAGAAGUUAUUAAAACUUUGAGGAAGCAUCGUGCUGCUAUUGGAUAUAGUCUUGAUGAUCUUAAGGGUAUUAGUCCUACUCUAUGUCAGCACAGGAUUAAAACCGAUCCUGACUUUAAACCAGUUGCUGAUCAUCAAAGGAGUUAAAUCCUAAGAUGAAAGAGGUCGUUAGAAAAGAAAUAUUAAAGCUUCUGGAAGCAGGAAUCAUUUAUCCUCUUGCUCAUAGUGAUUGGGUAAGUCCAGUACAUUGCGUACCUAAGAAGGGAGGUAUCACCAUCGUUCCUAAUGAUAAGGAUGAACUAAUCCCACAAAGGAUUAUUACCAGCUAUAGAAUGGUGAUAGACUUCCGGAAACUAAACGAGGCAACCAGGAAAGAUCAUUAUCCCUUGCCGUUUAUCGACCAAAUGCUAGAAAGGCUAUCAAAACACACACACUUCUGCUUUCUAGACGGUUAUUCAGGUUUCUCACAAAUACCUGUUGCACAAUCUCAUCAAGAGAAAACCACUUUCACCUACCCUUUCGGUACCUUUGCCUAUAGACGUAUGCCUUAUGGCUUAUGUAACGCACCUGCCACCUUUCAAAGAUGUAUGAUGGCUAUAUUCUCUGAAUUUUGUGAAAAGAUUGUCGAGGUUUUCAUGGAUGACUUCUCCGUUUAUGGGUCUUCCUUUGAUGAUUGCCUCAGCACUCUUGAUCGAGUCUUACAGAGAUGCGAAGAAACCAACCUCAUCUUAAAUUGGGAGAAGUGCCACUUUAUGGUUAAUGAAGGUAUCGUCUUAGGACACAAAAUCUCUGAAAGAGGCAUUGAAGUUGAUAAGGCUAAGGUUGAUGAAAUUGAGAAAAUGCCUUGCCCCACAGAUGUCAGAGGUAUACGAAGUUUCCUAGGUCAUGCUGGUUUCUAUAGAAGGUUCAUUAAAGACUUCUCUAAGAUUUCUAGGCCUCUUACCAACCUCUUGCAGAAGGAUGUUCCUUUUGUUUUUGAUGAGGAUUGUGAGGAAGCCUUCGAAAUACUUAAGAAGGCUUUGAUAACCGCACCUAUUGUUCAACCACCUGACUGGAACUUGCCCUUUGAAAUCAUGUGCGAUGCUAGUGAUUAUGUUGUNNNNNNNNNNNNNNNNNNNNNNNNNNNNNNNNNNNNNNNNNNNNNNNNNNNNNNNNNNNNNNNNNNNNNNNNNNNNNNNNNNNNNNNNNNNNNNNNNNNNAGAUCCUGGUGCGCCAUUAGUAUAGAUCCUGGUGCGCCAUUAGUAUAGCUUAUGGUGCGCCAUUAGUAUGCCUCCCAGGGCCAUAUUUACCCAUAUGCUCUGGCUUACUAAUGGCGCACUAGUUGACGAUGCGCCACUAGUGUGCUUUUGAAGUGCACCACUAGUGUGCUGAGUGAUGCGCCACUAGUAUGAAUAUUAGGUAUUUAUUUUAUUUUUUCUGAUAUUUGCACAGAUUACAAAAUAUAUUAUUGCACAGAAUAUAGAUAGCACAACAUAUAAACAACAGAUUUAUCGAAUACAAUAGAAGAUUAGUCUCCGAAUACAAUUCAUCAUAUUAGUCUCCGAAUUUAAAAUACCGAACAAAGUUAGAACAUUACAAGUCUCGAGACCGUGAUUAGCGAGUUUGUCUUCACAUUACAAGUCGAUAUCGAUCAUCUAAACUACCAUCACAUAGAAGAGAGCUGCGGUCACCACGAUGAGCAUAAUCGCAAUGAAACUGGUCUUCAUCCGGUUCCUCCAACGCUCCCUCCUCUCUCCCGCUAGAUAGCGCGCGUAUCUAACUUCCGCCUCCGCCCUUGUGGUGUACCCUUUGUAACUGUUACCGCUGAAUCAGGGAAUCUGUCUCCGACACUCCUCCCAGUCGUCAUAGACUCCGGGAACCUUACCCUUGUACACGACAUACGACGACAUCUCUAUGCACUAGCCAAACAAAACGUUAGUAGCAAUUCACAGAGACAUACAAGUUCAUUAAAGUUUAAUAUUACAACUAUAACAGCACGAUUCAUGGUCCUACUAAUAAAUAGCAUCGAUUAUAUAUAAGUUGAACGACUGUCCAAACCAAAGAGACAUACAAGUUCAUUAAAGUUUAAUAUUGCAACAUGAAUUAGUAGCGAUUCACGGGAACGUGGAUGAAGCCGCCGUCUUUCGUGAUGGUCAUGAAAUUGCGGUCGUUGUCAGCCUGCAUUUGUAGCAUUGUAUCUAUCUCACUAUUGGACAGCGGAGAUCCGAGGUAGAACUGCCCCGAGGUACGAAGGACAUCUUGAUGGAUGAUUUCCGCAAACUCCGACUGGAUGCGAAAGAAUUCUUGUCUGAUGUCCGCAUCCUGGAUUGCCGACAAGCGUGCGGCCCAAUCUUUGAGAUUAUUUGGUAGCCGAAGGUGAUUACUGUCCCGUAUGAUCGCCCACAUGUGAUGGAGGGCGUAGUAGGCAUCCUUCUGACUGCCAAGCGGCUGCUUGACGCAGGCGAACGUCGUAUUGUGGGUGAACACGUGCUUGCCGUGCCUGAGACUUGUCCUGCUGAAGGUGCCUCCAGAUAUGGUGUAGCCGGGAAGAGCUUCAUCAAGAACUUUCUUGAUAUUUGUGUAGUCUUUUUUUGACUGACGGUCCGAGUCGAAAUAUGUGGCCGUGGAAUAUUUCAGGCUUAAGAGGAUGAUUGUGCAACGUGUGUCACUGCACAAAACACGGAAUAUUAGAAAAAAAAGGACGAUCAAAAUCUAAGAAAUCAUAUGUUACGGGGCGAUGAGGGGAUAACUUACCAGGGAAAGUAAGGCACGAGGAAGUUAUCCUUUUCUGAGAUUGCCAGAAUGACACCUUCGAGGUAUGAACUCGCGACUUGCCGGUCCCCAUCGCUGCCCAAGAUUUUGGCACGCAUAUAGAAGGGGUCGACUAUCACUAGGUCCGGGGUCUUGUCUCUAAUGAUCCGCAUCUCCAUACUCAGCGAAAAUAGCCGAACGAAGGUGUAGUGCAGCGGAUGAAGGUUAAACAUAGCGAAGAUGUCAGCAAACUGCAGGACGAUCAUAACCCCGAUGGCGCUAUGGACAAAGCCCUUGCCCUCUGGCACCUUGGCCACGAAAACCGGGUAUGCCACAUUAUUCUCGGAGAGACGCCGCUUCUCCAAACAAAGAACACUGUCAUGCAGACUCCGCAUAGCACCGGUUGCAGCAUUGAGCAGAUUAGUCGGUAGCAUUGGCCUACCCGCCACAUGCACCCUCCUCGAGAUAUCCUUAGGUCAAGGUGGCCCGUCCAGAGCACGGAUCGUACUCAGUGCCGGCUGGCUCGCACCCUUGUUAGUCUUUCUUUUCCGUCCCUUCUUCUGCUGAUGUAAUGGGAUUGAGUUCAUCUGCUCAGAGACCACCUUCUUGAGUGUGUUGGGGCUGAUAAUAUUUCGCACCUCGGCUAUCUGAGGCUCGGUGAAGGCGGCAGCUGGAGGCGUCUCCUCAAAACUAAACGCUAGACAACGCCUGUUGCAAUUGGGUUUCUCCGCGGUACCAGCUAGAUCACCGUCGUCUUAUGCAGGGUUGAGUUCUUGAGAAGGAGGCCCCAAGAAUUCCUCACCAUACCCAUGUUCGGGAAAGUACUUAUCAACCUUGGUAAAUGUACCAUCGCCGUCAUCGUUGUCGUCCGGAUCCUGUGCCAUAUGCAUGUCCAGAUCCUGUGCCAUAUGCAUGUCCGGUAGAGUUGCAACGGUCUUGCCAUGGCUUGGCGCUAUGCCAUUUGUCAUGGUUUUUAAUUCAUUUUAUGUAGUUAGCUAGGCCAUUUUAGCUGAAACUAUGCCAAUAUGUACGCCUGGUUUGACGCCGAAAGUUAACAACAGAAGCAAAUUUUUAUGGCUUCACACAUACAUCGACAAAUCAAAUAUUGGCAGCCAAGCAUGCCUAUACAUAUGCCAUUUUGCACUAAAGUUAAAAAUUAGUAUUUAGUUGAAUACGUCUUCUUGGGAAAUUUGUCUUAUUUGUUCCUAUAUAUUUUCUAUUUUUUCUACGGGUCUCCUCAGCAAGAAAAUACGGUGCAAUAGAACACCCAUCUGGAGCUAAUCACUACCAUAUCAUGGCUUGCAUAUUUGUCACCGCAAUCGUGUAUUUUUCACAUCACACAUUUUUUGGAAUCAUACAUGCAUGUUCAUCCCCUACUACACGCAUGCAUCUCAUAUCGAUUCUUGUGAAGUACUCACUCUGUAAACUAAUAUAAGAUCUGUAAGCUAAUAUAAGAUGUUUUAGAUCAGGUGGUACUAUUGAAUUAUGCUUGCAAUGUUCAUUUCUCUCUCUUAUUGUGUUGGUUAAACUUUGGGUGACUAAGGUUUGGCAUGGUUAAUCUCAAGCUAAUUAAGCAGGUUCUUACUACUACUCCAUCUAAGAGCUAAAGGAGGAUGAGCCCUUCAGACAAGGGCCUCCACUACGUUAGCAAACCCUAAUACUGUAAUACACAUCUGCUUAGAAAAACCAGGUCACGUUUAAUCUACACCUCAAUUCACAUGUAAUGUACUCUAGUAUAAAAUCGAAUACGCUAUUAUAUUAUGUACGGAGCUAGUACCUGAUUAUGAGGUCAUGCAUGCAGCAAUCUGUACACAUGAUUAUUUCCAGAAUUUUAUACACUGCCCACGUUGUAAAACUAGCAAAUAAAUAGCCCAUAGGAGGGGAAAUUAAAAUGUUUCUGUGCGUAAGCAUGAUAGAUCCCGAUCGAAUGGGAGGCUGAGGGUAGGCUCACCGGUGGUUAGGUUGCAGGCGUCGCUGGAGAAGUCAAGCGCAGUGACGCAGUUGGUGUGUCCCCUGAGGGUGUUGAGGUCGAGGUGGUGGUGCUUCUUGGCCGCCUCCUGGAAGAAAACACACAAUUCAGCUGAGACCACACUCACCACACAUUCCAAUAUUUAUAUGGAACUAUGAAUGUCUACAUUUCAACAGGAAGUGCAGGAAUGGAUGAACUAUGAAGAUUAUGUUCUCCUAGGAUACACUCCGAAUCGAAUCUAUUGGACUGUAAUCGGAGACACCACUGACUGAUCCCUGUGUGUGAGAGCGAGAUCGGUAGUAGCUAGCACGUGUGCGGAAUCAUGGAUCCCAUCCGAGUGUGCAGUAUGCGCGCGAGUGAGAUGGGGAUGGAGACAAGAUGAGAUGGGGGUGGACCUUGUCGGCGGCGGAGGCGUGGUGGUGUUAGGGCCAUCCCUUCUUGUUCUGGGCGGCGGGGCGGACCUGCUUGGGCAGGUCCGAGGCGGCGGCGACGGCGGAGGGGGGCACGUGCAAGAUGUCGGCGCGCUUGCGGCGCAGGUAGCCGGCGAGGAAGACGAAGGCGAUGGCCCCGCCGAGCAGCACCGAGAGGAUCGGCUAUUUACUGGUGCUGCGCUGCAGGAGCAGAGGAAGGGGCGCCGCCGGUGGAGAGGACGAAGACGGUGUGGGUCUUGCAGGGGGACUUGAGGUGGCGGCCGAGGACGGUGAGGUCGGGGAGGUGGUGGCCCUCCGCGGCGGCGGAGCUAGGGUUCGGGGAGACGGCGGGCGCUGCUGGGCGGUGGAAAGGGGGUAGGGGGGAGGCCGUGGGAGAAGAGAGGAGGGCGCGAGGGCAGCCGGCUUAGGAAUGGCGCACCCCGAGCGGUGCGCCAUUAGAAUGUUUUUUUAUAUAGUAAUGGCGCAUGUAUAUGAGGUGCGCCUUCUCUACGUUGUUAACCUCCGAAGUAGUAGCGCAGUGGUGCGUGGGUUUUGCCUGCUAGCAGGAGGUGGUGGGUUCGAAUCCUCUUCCCCCCUCCUUUUUUUCCUUUUAUUUUUUUCUAUGCAUUGUUUUCUUGUGCUGGUUGCACCUUGGUUUGAGAAGUUAAUGCUGUGUUGUGCAUCACACCAUGAGGGUGAUUUAUCUUCCCUCACAACAACAUCUAGUGCAUAGUAUUUUUUUGAUGUUUGCAAGUAGAUGCCUAUGAAUAGGAGUUGAAUCUUGUGAAUAGGUGUUCUAGUGGUAAGUAUGCCGACGGCGGCGGCGGUGGAGCGAGGGAGGGUGCGGGGGGUGCUCGGCGGCGAGAGGGAUCUUGCGAGGGGUGAUAGCGAUCGAGAUGGAGGGGAUCGAGUGUCCUCAUGAAUAUUCAAUAUUUUUUCAUAUUGAAUAUGAAAAAUAUCAUCAAAUUUGAAAAUGUCGAAAUACAAUCGAGAAAUAAAGGCUACAAUUUAAAUACAAUCGAUCUUAGCUAGCUAUUUGUUCACAAUCUUCUUGCCCUUAUUUUUCGUAAAUGGAGUUCUUCUCUUGAACGGACGUCCUUUAGGUAGGGUGGUCCUGCUUCUUCUUGUGGUGUAUGCUGGUACUUCAUCAUCGUCGUCAUGUUCCAUCUUCGGGUCGCCGUACUUGUCGAAGGCUUGCUCAUUGGUGACUCCAUCCAUUCCGAUGAUCUUCCUUUUGCCUCUCCUCACGACAACACGACUGGGCUUUGGCGGGUCGGUAAUGAAGAAGCAUUGGUCCACUUGGGAAGCCAGUACCCAUGGCUCAUUUUUCGCGGUGACGUUUGCGCCCGCGGUCUUGGAUUUGGCUUCGGGUAUAACCAUGGUGGUGAAAUACCAGUCUUCUUUUAUGACGCUCUUGGCCCAUCUGACACGGAACAUCGGGACCUUCUCUCCAGCGUAGCUCAGCUCCCAGAUCUCCUCGAUCCUUGUGUAGUAUUUAUCCUUGUCAUUACCGGUGUAGGAUUCCAUCGUUAUCCCGGAGUUCCGAUAACCAUCGCUCUUCAUGUCCUUUCCCUCGGUGUAGAAUGUGUAGCCGCUGAUAUCGUACGCCUCAUACGUCAUCAGGGUGUGCUCGACGCCCUGUUACAAGGCGAAUAUGAGUUGUUCUUCCGCGGAAGAAUCCUCAUGUAAAGGGUACGACAGAAGCUUCUGCUUGACAAUUUUUUUUGGCAUGACUUUGCCUAAGAAUAGGACAAAAAAGAAUGCAUAGUGCCAAAUUCUCGCCGAAACGGAAAUGAAUCAACAUUCCGGGAAAAUAUUGGCAACUAUCGCAUUUCAAAUACCGGUACCUGCAAACACAAACAUAUAUGCAACACCACAAACAUAUGCAACACCACAAACAUACGUAGAUCUAGCUAGGCCAUAAAAAGUGCAUGUGCACGUUGUUGGAGGGAGAAAAAAGUAGAUCUACAACAUAAAAGCUUUCCCCUUACUUACCUAUCAAAAAAAGGUAAUUUAACCACUUAAUUUGGGUGAAUCUAUGAUGCAAAUGAGGUGAGGAGGAGGAGGCACCCAAGACAAGCUUGGAGGAGGAGGUGGAGAGAAUGAAAGUGGGGAAAGUGAGUGUGGUAGGUGGCUGUCCAAAAUAUCUAGUUGGUCCCAGGUUACUAAUGGCGCACCACCUACAGAUGCGCCAUUAGUAACCCUGGUUACUAAUGGCGCACCGCUUGUGGUGCGCCAUUAGUAGUUCUGCAAAAAAAAAGUAGUGGCGCACCACCAACAGAUGCGCCAUUAGUAACACUGGUUACUAAUGGCACACUAGCUGUGGUGCGCCAUUAGUAGUUUGCAAAAAAAACCAAUUUUUUUUAUAUUAGUGGCGCACUACCAACAGAUGCGCCAUUAGUAACCCUGGUUACUAAUGGCGCAUGAGCUGCUGGUGCGCCAUUAGUAGUUUUGCAAAAAAAAUAAAAAUAAAAAAUAUAGUAGUGGCGCACCGAGUAUGUGGUGCGCCAUUAGUGUCCAUCACACUAAUGGCACACCUGCACAUGGUGCGCCACUACUAUAUAGUAGUGGCGCACUGCUUGUGUGGUGCGCCAUUAGUAUCUAUAUCAUCUAUAGCCCUUUUACUAGUAGUGGUGGACUCUCAUGGCAAAACUGGUUGGAGGUUUAUGGAUGCACAAGUAGUGUCUCUACUUGGUGCGGGAGUUUUGGCUAAUAUGAGGUGGAAGCAAUCGUCACAUGCUAAGGGAUCUCUAAUCAUAUAACAUUGUUUGGAACCAAGCAAACACAAUUCAUUAUGUUGUCUUCCUUGUCCAACAUCUACUCCUAGGCAAGUAAUAGUUUGGUGAGUGCUCACAAUUGUAAAAAGUGUCUAAGAUGAUAUAUUUAUAUGAGAACCUCUCUUUCCUUAUUCCUUCUUAUUAACUGCAACAAUGACUGAGGUCUAUGUUGAUUUAUUCUCAAAAAGUUUCAAUCAUCAUACGUGUCAUACGUGAAGUUAUCAUUUUCCAUAAGAUCAUCUCAUGAUCUUUCAUGCUAUCGUUCUUUUCAUACUUUUGAUCAUGGCAAAAAGAAAAGCCCUUGACUAAGACACUCUUUAUUAUAUAGCUCGUAAGCUCGAAUACAUCGGGAGAGAGAAAAAAGCAAAAGACUCAAACUAAACACUAAAGACUUAUUCCUCUAAGAGAAGAAAUAAAAACUGAAAAGGAAAGAAAUAAAACAAAGGUAAAAGCAAAAGAUAUAAAGGUGAUACGAUACCAGGGCAACUCCCCCAAGCUUGGUAGAAGCCAAGGGGAUUGCCCAUACCAAUGCUUAGUUGCCUUCCUUCGGUGGUGAUGGUGGUGGAGUUGUUGGAGUAGUCUGAUCCUCCGUCUUCCAAGGCAUAGGUGCUCCAUCAUGGCAGGAUGAACGAGUCGCUGGAAUCCUCAAAUCUGCAGCCAACCUUAUUGAUUUAAAUAUGUACUCAUACUCACAGUUUUGGUUCUGCAGGUCAUAGAUCUGGCCUUGAAGUUGAUCAACCCUGUGAUAGAGCCUGGAGAGGUGGUUCCCAAUAUCAAUGGCAUCCAUCUUGUGAUUGCUAGUGAACUCUGUGAUCAUCAUGUGGUUGGCGUUGAGUCCACGCUCCACCAUCCCUUGGCACUUGAAGACUUGUUGCUCCAUUGCUUCGAGCCUCGUCUCCAUGCUUCCGGUCUUCUUAGGCCCCUCAACAUCACGGAUGUGCAACAUCCCCUCGCGCAUCUUGAUAGAUUGAGGGUGUUUCAACACUUCCGUGAGGUAGGGAUUGAUGACCUUCUCGAAGAUCUUGUCCUUAGGAGCGUUUGGGGAAGUCAUGAUGAUCUAGAUCUGUCACACAAACAGGCUCGAAACGAAAACAGAGGAAAACUAUGCGAUACGGAGAUCAAAACCUUCGGGCGACUAUAUAUUGAUUUUUUUCUGGGCCAGAAGGAGUCCUCCACAAGAAAACGGAGUCCGGGAGGCACACGAGGUGCCCACAAGCUUGCCCUCCGCCACCAGGGGGUAGGGGGCGAUGGCAGGGCUUGUGGCCGCCUCGUUCGCUCUCCGGACUGCUUUUUAUUUUUCUAAUUUUCCAAAAAUUCCAAAACGGAGGAAAUUUCCUAUUGGAAAAGCAUUGUAGUCCAGUUUCUUACCGAAACAGAUACAUCUACGUUUUCAAGGUCUAAAACAGGCUGAUAAACAUCCCUUAUGUACUCCUCUGGAGUUAUGACAUUGAUGAUAUUGGUCUCAACAUUUAUGGGAGUACCAGAGAUGUAAUGCUUGAUUCUUUGCCCAUUUACCACUCUAGGAAAAUUUCCUUCCGUGUUAUUGAUUUUGAUGGCACCGGAACAAUAUACUUCCUCGAUAACAUAGGGACCUUCCCAUUUAGAGAGAAGCUUGCCUGCAAAGAAUCUCAAACUAGAAUUGUAUAGCAAGACAUAAUAACCUACAUUGAACUCUCGUUUCUGUAUUCGUUUGUCGUGUCAUCUCUUAACCUUUUCCUUGAACAACUUGGCAUUCUCGUAUGCCUGGGUUCUCCAUUCAUCUAACGAGCUGAUAUCAAACAACCGCUUCUCACCGGGAAGUUUGAAAUCAAAGUUGAGCUCUUUGAUUGCCCAAUAAGCUUUGUGUUCCAGCUCAAGAGGUAAAUGACAGGCUUUACCGUAAACCAUUUUAUACGGUGACAUGCCCAUGGGAUUCUUAUAAGUAGUCCUAUAAGCCCAUAGUGCAUCGUCAAGUUUGCUAGACCAAUUCUUUCGAGAUCUAUUGACGGUCUUUUGUAGGAUCAACUUGAUCUCCCUAUUACUCAACUCCACUUGACCACUAGACUGAGGAUGAUAAGGAGAUGCAACUCUAUGGUUGACAUCAUACUUAGCUAGCAUCUUGCGGAAAACACCAUGAAUGAAGUCUGAACCGCCAUCAAUCAUCAAGUGUCUAGGGACUCCAAAUCUUGGGAAUGUGACUUCUUUAAGCAUCUUAAUAGAGGUGUGGUGAUCAGCAUUUUUAGUGGGGAUAGCUUCUACCCACUUAGUAACGUAAUCCACAGCAACUAAGAUGUGAGUGUACCCAUCGGAACUCGGGAAGGGUCCCAUAUAAUCAAAGCCCCAGACAUCAAAUGGUUCAAUGACAAGUGAAUAGUUCAUAGGCAUUUCCUGAUGCUUACUGAUGUUCCCUAUUCUUUGGCAUUCGUCAGAAGACAAGACAAACUUACGGGCAUCCUUGAAGAGAGUGGGCCAAUAGAAACCUGAUUGCAAUACCUUAUGGGCAGUUCUAUCUCCAGCGUGGUGUCCUCCGUAGGCUUCGGAAUGACACUUCUGACAGAUCUGUCCCUGUUCAUGUUCAGGCACACAAUGUAUAAUAACACCAUCUACUCCUCCUUAUAGAGGUGAGGAUCAUUCCAAAAGUAAUAUCUCAAAUCAAAGAAGAAUUUCUUCUUUUGCUGAUAGGUGAAACUGGGUGGUAUGUAUUUGGCUACGAUAUAGUUUGCAUAAUCUGCAUACCAUGGUGCACUAUGUGAAGUGCGGAUCACAUUUAAUUGCUCAUCAGGAAAGCUAUCAUCAAUAGGUAGUGGGUCAUCAAGGACAUUCUCUAGCCUAGACAAGUUAUCUGCUACAGGGUUAUCAGCACCCUUUCGGUCAACGACGUGCAAAUCAAAUUCCUGUAGCAGGAGAACCCAUCUGAUCAGCCUAGGCUUAGCGUCCUUCUUCUCCAUGAGGUACUUAAUAGCAGCAUGAUCAGAGUGAAUAGUNNNNNNNNNNNNNNNNNNNNNNNNNNNNNNNNNNNNNNNNNNNNNNNNNNNNNNNNNNNNNNNNNNNNNNNNNNNNNNNNNNNNNNNNNNNNNNNNNNNNGUCCAGUUAUCAAGCAACAACACCUUGUUCAUAAUCAGAAGACACUGACUAUCUUUGAUCAACUGGCUAGCCAACUAGAGGCUUGCUAGGGACAGUGUUUUGUCUAUGUAUCCACACAUGUAUUUAAGUCUUCAUUCAAUACAAUUAUAGCAUGGAUAAUAAACGAUUAUCUUGAUACAUGAAUUAUAAUAAUAACUAUAUUUAUUAUUGCCUCUAGGGCAUAAUUUCAACACCGAGCGCGUCCGCAGACGUAUGGAGGGUAUUUUGAGGCGUUAAGCUGUAGAUGCAUUUGGGCCUAAUCGGCAUAUUUUGAGGGCUAAAUUUUAAAGAGUAGAAUAAAUAAACGAGUCAAUAAGAGACGUGUGCACGCUCCAAAAAUUGUAAAUCCGAACCUUAUGCACGUAGACAACAAAAGAAGACAUGUAGCGUCAAGAAACUAUUUUUUGUAUACUCUUCACGGCUGAGUUUGUCUCUAUUUUCUCCCUAUGUAUAUUAAAUUCAGAUUUAAAUUUGUGUUGGAUUGUAAGCAAAUAUUCGGUCAUCUCGCUCUAUUUUUCCAACAAUUGUUACAACCUCUUUUCAGGGUAGUUCCGUGCAUUGGUAUCAAGGUAGCAUCCAAAAUGCUUGUAGAACCACUAGCGAUCUAACUAAUAACGUCCCUUGGUGCUUUCUACCAGCGGACGUUAUUAGUUAGAACGUUAGUGGAUCCACCUCCUUCUACCGUCUCUCAGGUGGUCAAUAACAUAGAGGGGAAUCCUCCAGGUGCCUCGACUUCGUCCGUAGUUUAGCUUUUCUUCUUCUCUCGCAUGGCACGCGGAUGGUGGUGCUUCAUCUUUGGAUGGGCCUUUCAGGUUUCGAUCCUUAUCGUGUUCGUCCAUCGAGAGAGAGUCGGCGAAGUUCGAGCAUUGUUCCUAUCCUCUUCUUGGGACGGCGAGGUUAGGGUUUCUCGAUGUGUGUGUGCACGAUGACGAGAUUUGGUGUUAGACACUUUAGAUCGGUUCAAGGGUUCAAUGGUGAUGACAGCGGAUCUCGGAAGAUGGUCCUUAGGGGCACACACACGAAGAUUUUUUGUUAUUGACAAGGUCAAGAUGACACAGGUAGGGGAGCGACGAUAGUGACGUGUCGACGACUCAGUCUAUUGGCAGUUGUGUUCGGUGGUGCGUUAUCCUCAUGUGAUUUUAUUAUGAUUUGGGUGCUUUGUACUGUUUAUGAAUCUUGAUAAUAGAUCUAGGUUAUUUUUCACGAAAAAUGCUUGCAAACCGGAGCCUUUCUCGACUUGGCAUGUGCUUUUGUAAGUAUUAUUCACAACCAAUAUAAAAUGCACAGAAUGUAUAUGCAUGGAAUGUAUAUCCAAGUGAGAAUAAGCGUUAGGGAGGUUACUGAUAAAUUACAUCGAGUUAGGUGUGCAGGCGGGCAUGUAAAUGCAAAUUAAUCGUUGCUUUGAUGCUGCCCAUGCGAUUUUGAUCUGAUGGCCGAGGACAGAACGGAUGCAUGGAUAUACAUCUCCCUCCGAUGCAUAGGAUAUGUUGCCUUUAUAUUGUUACAACUAAUUGUAUCUUCAUUUCGAAAGCUACAGUAUCAGCUUUCAACACAUAGAAGCGGUACAUGAGUGCCGGAAGCAUAAUGGUGCAUGGAGUUGUCCAGUAACUAGAGGAUAGUGGGCGUGAGAGGAACAAGGAUGACACGAUGUCUUUUUCCCGGAGGGACACAAUGAGUAACAUGUUUGGUGGAGAAGAUUAAUUAAAGAAUUAGGAAUGAAUGUCUGCAGUGUAUGUAAAAAAGACGAAGAUGUAUGUCUACAAUGUACUGUAAAAGAAGGAUGUAUGCCUACAUUGGAAGUUGUCGAGUAUUACUUGCACCUGUGGCAAAAGGGUGGAGGACGUGUUUGUGUGCCUGAAAAAUAAUUAUCUUUAUAAUCAGCUUAUAAAUAGUAAACCCAUGGAAAGCUUUUUUUUUUAUGGAUUUACAAAAAAAGCUUAUAAAUAGUAAAUCCAUCAGUUUGCUAUUUAACAGUUGCCUGUUUUUCAGUGUGCAACAAUCUGAUUUUCCUAUAAUGAUCUAAUAGCUCCAUCGUGAUGGCGGCACUUACAUAUGACUCUUUUCAUAGAUCUGCAUACAAUCACCUCAUGAUAGAAAUCAAGAAGCUUUUGGAAUCGCAUGAUUUUAUUCGACAGAAGAUUGAUCGUCAUCAAAAUAAAGUUGCUCAUAGUCUAGCUAAUAUAGGUUGCUCUGAAGGUAGCACCGCGUGUUGGUUGCGCCGUGUUCCACACUGUAUCACUCAUCUUGUUUUAGCAGACUGUAACACUAUUUCAAAGAAAUAAAACUCUUUUAUUUCGUUAAAAAAAAUAGUUGCCUGUUUUUCUUUUCCAUUUCAGUUUUUAUAUUGUAUAUUUAUUCUGUCUUUUUUAUUUCUUUCUCUACGUAUCAGUCAUUUUCGUGUGUGAGUGAACGUGUGCGUGUGCACAUUCUCAAAAGAAGACGUGUGUGUGCUUGUGUAAUGGUGUGUGCGCUUUCUUUCUUUGUGUGCGCGUGUUCUUUUGUGUGCAUGCAUUCUUUUUUUAAAUCUUUGCAUUCAUGUUUCUUUAGAGCAAGUACAAUAGAGCUGAGUGAGCUGGCUAUAAGAAAUAAACUAAUAUAUUUUUAUUUAGUUAGAGGAAAGAGAAGAGGAGAGAGAAGGUAAACGGACUCUUAGCUAAGAACCAGCUCUAGCACGUGCUCCUAGGUCUUUUGUGAGUAUGAAAGGUGAACCAUAUAAUAAAAGAGUAGUACAUUUUUCAAUGAACUAUUGUACAUGUUGACUAUAAGAUGUGCUAUAAAUGACAUGACAAUGACUUAGCCAGCAGCUGACUAUACUAUUGUACUUGCUCUUAGCGGUGUGUAUGUAUGUGUUGUGUGUAUGUGUGUGUCUUCGUGUAUCUAUGUGCAUGUGUGCGCACACACUCACAUGUGUGCGCAUACGUGUGCAUGUUAGUAUAUACAUGUAUGUGGUGAAGUGAGCAAGUUAGAUGGUUAACCUUUUCUAGUGGAACCAGCCCAUCGAAAUUUAAGUUCUAGAUCUACUAUUGAGUAUAUUGAUUAGUUAAGAAACAUAAGAUAGAUUAGGAAUUAUUCUGUCUUGUCUUGUACUUCAAAUUAAUCAUAUACUCCUAUAUAUAUAUAUGUUUACGAGGUUCAAUCAAUACAACAAUUAUUCCAUCAAUCUCUCUAUUCCUAUUCAACAUGGUAUGUGUCGCAAGUUUCUAGAUCUAGCCGCCGCCCGCCGCUUCUGCACCACGCGCCGCCCCCGGGGUGAACGGUCUCCAUGACCGUCGCCGGGGGCCGCAUCGCCAGUACCUACGGUUCAUCCGCCGGUUAUGUUGACCGGCCGCCCUAGAGAGUCUUUUAGUCUCUUGAUCCGGGUUUUCUCUCUCAUGCCAGUCUCUUGAUCGGCGUUCUUCCUUUUUGGUUUUCCGAUCUAAGAUCGGUUUGCGUCGCCUGCCGCCGCCGUCGCCCACCGCGCAUCUACUUCGACAUCGGCACGAUCCAGCCUCUACACCGACAUGACGGCCUCACGCGAUGCGGCGGCCCCUUCUGGCCAUCGACCGCGCGUCUUCCCAUUGUCGUUCUGCACCGACCGUCGCCACCCUUCUCCGACCGGAACUGCUUCAUCAUCACCCGCCUCCACCGUCGCCUCGUAUGGUCGCGCACCGGCUGCCUCGGGUCGGCUGCCUGCUCCGGCCGCGUCGGCUACCUCGGGUCGGCUACCGACUCCGACCGCAUCCGCCUCCCCGCUUGCGUCGAGCCGGUUGCGUCGGGUCGGCAACCAGCUCCGGCUGCGCCGGCUGCCUCGGGCCGGCUGUCGGCUCCGGCCGCAUCGGCCUUGCCGCCUGCCUCGGGUCGGCUACGUCGGCACCCGGCUCCGGCCGCANNNNNNNNNNNNNNNNNNNNNNNNNNNNNNNNNNNNNNNNNNNNNNNNNNNNNNNNNNNNNNNNNNNNNNNNNNNNNNNNNNNNNNNNNNNNNNNNNNNNCGUAGGUCUGAAGUGAACUACUCACGAGUCAUUGGAGGGGCGAUGAUGUUGAUGAAGAUGCCCUCCAACUCCAAAGUCCCCUCCGGCAGGGCACCGGGAAGGGUCUCCAGAUGAGAUCUCGCGGAAACGGAAGCUUGCGGCGGCGGAAAAGUAUUUUCGAGGCUCCCCUGAUUUUUUGUUGUAUUUUAGGGAAUAUAUAGGCCAAAGAUCUAGGUCAGGGGCGCUCAGGGAGGCCACACGCCCUGCCACCGCGGCCUCCCCCUGGUGGCGGAGUGGGGGCUUGUGGGCUCCCUGGAGCCCUCCUGGCUUGGCCCACAGGCCCCUUGAUCUUCUUCCGUUCGGGAAAAAAUCAUUUCGGGGAUUUUAUUCCGUUUGGACUCCCGUUCCAAAAUCAGAUCUGAAAAGACCCAAAAACACAGAAAAAACAGGAACUGGCACUUGGCACUGAAUUAAUAAGUUAGUCCCAAAAAAGAUAUAAAAGGUACAUAAAACAUCCAAAGAUGACAAGAUAACAGCAUGAAACCAUCAAAAAUUAUAGAUACGUUUGAGACGUAUCAGUUGCCAGCACCGGGCAUGCGUAGAUGGACAAAGACGAUGUUGACGAUGCGUCGCUCCAGGUUUGCCACGCCUGGGAACACGCCGGGGACGAAGGCACGCUUCGAUGUUGCCAGCACCGGGCAUGCGUAGAUGAGGGACCUCCACAAGUUGUACGUCAUGUCGAGGAGUCAGGGUAGAUGACAUCGACGCUGGCGAGGAGCUGGUGGUGGACGAAUGACGAAGGGGGUUGACGGCCGGUGCGGCUCGGGUGAGCGAGUUGCAGCGCCGCCAAAGGAGAGCGGUGGCGGCGGUGCUGGCCUAACGGCAGGGACGGCGGCGUAGACCGCGUGCCGCAAUGCGAUGCCCGACGGGGUAGCGUAGCGGUAGUGCGCGAUUCAUGCAGCCGAGGGAAGAACCACGGGGCGGCGGCGCUGCGGCCCGAUGAGCGACGCAGUGGUAGCCCAUUGCUCGAUCGGUGGAGUGGCGCGCUUUACUCGGGACAGUCUUCACGGGACCUGCGAAGGCACGCGCAACCGAUGGGCCAGAUCGGUUGCAUGGCAUAGAUGAGGUGGAUCACGGACGGGCGAGUGAUCAAUCCGAUCGCACGCGAUUUCGGGGACGUCGCUCGAUGGAGGCGGGCUGGCGGCGUCCGAGUUGAGGACGGCCAUGACGAUCGCAGGCGAAGCCGGCAGCCGGCUUGAUGCGGCCGACGACACAGCUGGCGAGGCCGACAUAGCUGCCAGCCAGCAGCCGACCUAAGGCAGGCAGUGAGCCCAGCCGAUGAGGCCGAUGCGGCUGGAUCCGGCAGCCGGCCCGACGCAGGUGGCGAGGCCGAUGCGGCCGGAGCCGGGUGCCGACGUAGCCNNNNNNNNNNNNNNNNNNNNNNNNNNNNNNNNNNNNNNNNNNNNNNNNNNNNNNNNNNNNNNNNNNNNNNNNNNNNNNNNNNNNNNNNNNNNNNNNNNNNUAAGAUCAUAUAACUCACUGACACCGGAGGAAUACUUUGUGUGUAUCAAACGUCGCAACGUAACUGGGUGACUAUAAAGAUGCUCUACAGGUAUCUCCGAAGGUGUUCGUUGAGUUAGUAUGGAUCGAGACUGGGAUUUGUCACUCCGUGUGACGGAGAGGUAUCUCGGGACCCACUCGGUAAUACAACAUCACACACAAGCCUUGCAAGCAAUGUGACUUAAUGUAAGUUGUGGGAUCUUGUAUUACGGAAUGAGUAAAGAGACUUGCCGGUAAACGAGAUUGAAAUAGGUAUACGGAUACUGACGAUCGAAUCUCGGNNNNNNNNNNNNNNNNNNNNNNNNNNNNNNNNNNNNNNNNNNNNNNNNNNNNNNNNNNNNNNNNNNNNNNNNNNNNNNNNNNNNNNNNNNNNNNNNNNNNNNNNNNNNNNNNNNNNNNNNNNNNNNNNNNNNNNNNNNNNNNNNNNNNNNNNNNNNNNNNNNNNNNNNNNNNNNNNNNNNNNNNNNNNNNNNNNNNNNNNNNNNNNNNAGAUCCAAUAUCGGCAUCCAGGUCCCGCUAUUGGAUAUUGACCGAGGAGUCUCUCGGGUCAUGUCUACAUAGUUCUCNNNNNNNNNNCGGGAUCUUGUAUUACGAAACGAGUAAAGAGACUUGCCAGUAAACGAGAUUGAAAUAGGUAUACGGAUACUGACGAUCGAAUCUCGGGCAAGUAACAUACCGAAGGACAAAGCGAAGGACAUACGGGAUUAUAUGAAUCCUUGGCACUGAGGUUCAAACGAUAAGAUCUUCGUAGAAUAUGUAGGAUCCAAUAUGGGUAUCCAGUUCCCGCAAUUGGAUAUUGACCGAGGAGUCUCUCGGGUCAUGUCUACAUAGUUCUCGAACCCGCAGGGUCUGCACACUUAAGGUUCGACGUUGUUUUAUGCGUAUUUGAGUUAUAUGGUUGGUUACCGAAUGUUGUUCGGAGUCCCGGAUGAGAUCACGGACGUCACGAGGGUUUCCGGAAUGGUCCGGAAACGAAGAUUGAUAUAUAGGAUGACCUCAUUUGNNNNNNNNNNAAGUUAUAUGGUUGGUUACCGAAUGUUGUUCGGAGUCCCAGAUGAGAUCAAGGACGUCACGAGGGUUCCCGGAAUGGUCCGGAAACGAAGAUUGAUAUAUAGGAUGACCUCAUUUGAUUACCGGAAGGUUUUCGGAGUUACCGGGAAUGUACCGGGAAUGACGAAUGGGUUUCUGGAGUUCACCGGGGGGGCAACCCAUCCCGGGGAAGCCCAUAGGUAUUGGGGGUGGCACACCAGCCCUUAGUGGGCUGGUGGGACAGCCCAAGAAGUCCCUAUGCGCCAUAGGAAGAAAAUCAAAGAGAAAAGAAAAAAAAAGAGGAGGUGGGAAAAGGGGGAAGGACUCCUCCUUCCAAACCUAGUUGGACUCGGUUUGGAAGGGGAGGGCUGCCCCCCUUGGAUCGGCCGAAACCCUUAAGGGUCCUUGGACCCCAAGGCAAGGCUCCCCCUCUUCCCCCUAUAUAUANNNNNNNNNNGCCCUAUGCGCCAUAGGAAGAAAAUCAAAGAGAAAAGAAAAAAAGGAGGAGGUGGGAAAAGGGGGAAGGACUCCUCCUUUCAAACCUAGUUGGACUCGGUUUGGAAGGGGAGGGCUGCCCCCCUUGGCUCGGCUGAAACCCUUAGGGGUCCUUGGACCCCAAGGCAAGGCUCCCCCUCUUCCCCCUAUAUAUACGGAGGUUUUAGGGAUGAUUUGAGACGACUUUUCCACGGCAGCCCGACCACAUACCUCCACGGUUUUUCCUCUAGAUCGCGUUUCUGCGGAGCUCGGGCGNNNNNNNNNNNNNNNNNNNNNNNNNNNNNNNNNNNNNNNNNNNNNNNNNNNNNNNNNNNNNNNNNNNNNNNNNNNNNNNNNNNNNNNNNNNNNNNNNNNNAUGGAAAGGGCUGGUUUGAUGAGCUACAGUCCAUGAUGUGGUCCAGCCGCACCACCGCGACCAAGCCCACUGGCGAGACCCCCUUCUUCCUCGUCUACGUGACUGAGGCGAUCCUCCCCCAUAGCUUAAGUAUGGUUCUUCGUGGGUGUUGGUGUUUGAUGAGGCGCAUCAUGCCAACACACGGGAAGCCAGCCUCCUCCUCCUCAGGAGGCCCACACCCGGGACGCCUUCGUGCUGCGACAUACCAGCAGGCCUUGCGGAGAAACCACAGCCGCCACGCCCGCCCUCGUACCCUCGAGGUCGGGGACUUUGUCCUGAGGUGGGUUCCCUCCAGGGAGGGCCUUCACAAGCUCUCACACAUGUGGGAGGGCCCCUUCAGGAUCACCCAUGUCUCCAGGAGUCGGAGGGUGGGAGCCCGAUGCCGAACACCUAGAACAUUCAACACCUCCCGAAGUUCUACCCGUGACACUCUCAUGUAAGAAUGAGUGGGUUGUAUACGCCCGGAGCCUCCCAAGUGGAAGACCACGUCGAGCCGCGUCGUGGCCUCGGAAGGGGGCUCCACGCCCAUGUCGAAGUCACUAUGCUCCCACUACCAGAAUGACUGUUGAACUGCGACUAUGCCCACGCCCAAGUGUAAGCCCCACGCAUCACGCUUGGGGACGAUCGAAGAAGAAGCCUCGCGGGCUGCAACUAACCCUAGCCUGACCCGUGCUGGACACGGCACACGCAUUCCCUUCAGGUUGACCAGUGGUGGACACGACAACUGCAUUUCUUUCUAAGCUGACUCGUGCUGGACACGACAGCCGCUUUUCUUCCCUUCUUUUUUCACUUGUAAACAAGCUCACCAGGCUGACCAGUGCCAGACACGGCAGCCACAUCUCCCCUUUUUUGCUUGUAAACAAGUUCGUCUCUGGUUUUAAUAUAGAUUCUGGUAUUUUGGUUUUUGCGGAGUUUCCUUGGUUUUUUCUUUUCUUACCAUGCGCGCUCGACGUCUACCUCUUGAACGUCACACGAGCGGGGGAUGGGGUAUGGUACCCACGCCCGAGAUACAUGCUUCGUCCACGGGCCUGUCCCCGCGUGCACCACCUCACCAAGGCCCUUAGUGCCUAAUUCCCUUGUACGACACGCAAGAGAGAGCUGACGAGUGUGGGUCAUGCCCCCGAGGCAAAACACCCUAUGCACGGGAAAGCGGGACAUUCAGCAAGAAGAUGGCCUAUCGAGUGUAGCGCCUGAGGAGGAUCCCGGCCUACUCCGGGCAUCCUCGCCGCUUGGCCCUACCCACGCGAUCACGUCCUAGUUUACCGGUGACGGAUGAGCCUCACAUAAGGGUUGCAUUCGAAUAAUACAAGGUAUGGAGUGGUACCAGAGGAAGCCACACAAAAGCACAAGUAUUCAUGACAUGAGCAUGAAUUUCAAUACCAAAGUCGCUGGCUUCACACCUCGGUGGGACUACAAGCUGGCAUGGACAUGGGGGUCGAGGGAAGCCUAGAGGGACGCGUCGCUCUCAUCGCCAUCGUCAUCCCCGUGUGCUUCAGCUUCAUUGUCGUCAUCAUAAAUCGCGUGUCCCUCGGCACCCCCUGACCCUCGAGUUUCUCAGGGUUAAACUUCAUCCUCAGCACGUCAACAUGGUCUCCCACGGCUUCCCCCAGGGCGUCGUGGGUCGCCUUAGAAACGGGGGCCAUUGCAGCCUCGAAAUUGAAGUCGGGGUCGGUGCGGAGGAGGUUGCUGAAGACGCGCGUCAACGCCUAGGACAAGAUAUCGCGGCUUUCCUCCUCGAUCAAGAUGCCCACCUGUCUGGCGCCCGCCUCAAUUCGUUCACAACCUCGGUGAAAAAAAUCAAGAUAACCAGCAUCGUUGGGCACGAGAGGACUGGAGAUGCUCCCUCCAUAGAUGGAACCCAAGGCUCAGCAUGCCCGCCGCUCGAGGCCUUGGAACAUCUUCGAGCGCAUGUGUUGCAGCCAUUGGGCCUCCUUCGCCUUGUCAGUAACCCGCUCCACAAGGAACGCAGCGCCGCCCACUUGCCCCUAAGGUGACGCCAGCUCGGCCGUGACAACGGCUUGGGCCUGAAGCGUGGCUUCCCGCUGGCCUUCCGCAAGAGUAAGAACCUCUUUAAGACCAUCUAUCUCGCGCAGCAGCUUUGCGCGCCGAGCCGUGAAGCGGAUCUCCUGCAGCUUUAGCGUGUUUCUGUAAUCCUUGCGGGCUUGCUCGACCCAUGCAUUGACUUACCCUUGGAUCUCUUCCACUCGUUGAUUGUAGGUGGCAAUGGCAACGGUAACGUCUCAAUCCAGCACCUCCAGCCGCUUGCACUCCAAGUCCACCUCCGACGAUGUCAAAGCAAGUUGUUGUUCGAGGGCCAGGAGAUCUGCCUCGUCGAGGGUGAGCUCGCGCGCCCCGUCCACUCGUCAAGUUGCUGCUCCAAAACGGUGUUUGAAGCCUGAAGCUCACGCUCACGGGCCUCUGCAGCCUUGCGACGCUCGUCCGCUUCUUCGGCUUCGCGAUGGGCGCCAUCGCUCGCCUCGGCGGCGGAUACUUUGACCUUUGUCUGUGCCACUUCAUGUUGGCGGUUACUCAGCUUGACGGCACCGAUGAAGCAUGUGUCGGCACCCCUAAGCUCUGCACUGAGCUGCCACAGUGUGCUCAUGGCGUUCCGCUGGAUGUUGUGACGGAUCAAGGUCCAGGAGGCCACGAGUUCUAGGGCCCAAUACGGCUGGGACCCAGCGCCUUCGUCCAUCGUCGGGGUCCCGGAGGCUCCCGCACCGCCCGUUGGUGGUUGGAGAUGGUUGAUGCUCGCCCUACCACAUCAAGGCAGGGCAUCACGGGCGGAGGGCUCGAGGCCGCCUCCAAGGCGGCUAGCUCCUCAAAGUUGUCCAUGGCAUUGGCCGGGACACCCGGGGUGGUUGGCGGCUCUGUCCCAUUCUGCUGAACACUCGACACGGAGGAAGGCGUCCCCGAGGGGCCAUGAACACGUCUUCACUCGCGGAGUCUCUUGCAGGGGGUGGUGGGGCAGUCGUCCCCCUUCGCCCCGCGCCCUCGAUGGGCAAAAAUGGAGUCGCGUCACGACCAGGCGCGUUGCUCGUGCUAUGGUGUGGCGCGUUUUGACCACUUACCUGAUACGUCCAUUUUGCAUCAUGCUUUCAUGUUGAUAUUUAUUGCUUUUUGGGCUGUUAUAUUACNNNNNNNNNNUACUUGGUGCGCCAUUAGUAUACCAGAUACUAAUGGCGCACCGUGAGCAAUACUAAUGGCGCACUGCCUGGUGCGCCAUUAGUAUACCAGAUACUAAUGGCGCACCUGGCGCACCUAUAGUGCGCCAUUAGUAGCCAAAAUAGGUGCGCCAUUAGCAAGCCUUUUCCUAGUAGUGCACCAUACCUACCUAUGGAUUGAAUAAGAUCCUUCAAGUAAGUUGUCAUCGGUGCAAGCAAUAAAAAUUGCUCUCUAAUAUGUAUGAUCUAUUAGUGUGUGGAAAAUAAACUUUGUACGAACCUGUGAUGAGGAAGACAUAAAAGCGACAGACUGCAUAAUAGAGUUCUUUAUCACAGGAGGCAAUAUAAAGUGACGUUCCUCCACACUAAGAGGACACGCAUUCAAACCUCAAAAGCGCAUGACAACCUCUGCUUCCCUCUGCGAAGGGCCUAUCUUGUACCUUUACUUUUUGCCCUUGUAAGAGUCAUGGUGAUCAUCACCAAUUCCCUAUUUUUGCCUUUGUCUUGCCUACCGUCACAUGCUUGGGAAAGAUCUAUAUUCAUAUAUCAACUUGGAGUUGAGUACUUAUGCUUUAUUGUUGUUGACUUUACCUUUGAGGUAAAUGGUUGGGAGGCAAAACUAUAAGCCCCCAUCUUCCUCUGUGUCAAGCUGAAACUUUGACACCUUGAGUACCACGUGAGUUGUAACAAUUGUGGAAAACAAAAGAGAUGAUUGAGUAUGUGGGUUUGCCUUACAAGCUCUUAUUUGACUCUUUCUGAUGUUGUGAUAAAUUGCAAUUGCUUCAAUGACUAUGGUUUAUUGUUGGUUACUUCUCGGUAAGGUUUUUGCUUCAUGCUUUGCUUUGUGAAGGAAUUGUUACUUUCCCAUAAGAAUCAUUAUAAUGUAUUGUUGUCCUUUGUGUGAUCAUGAUGCCCUCAUGUCCGUAUUAUGUUUUAUCGACACCUUCGUCCCCAAACAUGUGGACAUGUUUGUGGAACUUGGUUUUCGCUUGAGGACAAGCGAGGUCUAAGCUUGGGGGAGUUGAUACGUCCAUUUUGUAUCAUGCUUUCAUGUUGAUAUUUAUUGCUUUUUGGGCUGUUAUAUUACUUGUGGUACCAUAUUUAUGCCUUUUCUCUCUUAUUUUGCAAGGUUUAUUUGAAGAGGGAGAAUUCAGGCAGCUGGAAUUCUGGACUGGAAAAGGAGCAAAUCCUAGUCCACUAUUCUGCACAUCUCCAAAUGUCCUGAAAAGUUACGUGGAUUUUUUUGGGAUUAUAUAAAAAUUACUGGGCGAAAGAACUACCAGAGGGGGGCUGCCAAGGCGCCACAAGCCCUGAGACCGCCAUCCCCCUGGUGGCGGAGUGGGGGCUUGUGGGCUCCCUGACGGCCCACUAGCCCCCCUCUUUUGCUAUNNNNNNNNNNACACAUCUCCAAAUGCCCUGAAAAGUUACCUGGAUUUUUUUGGGAUUAUAUAAAAAAUACUGGGCGAAAGAACUACCAGAGGGGGGCUGCCAGGGCGCCACAAGCCCUGACACCGCCACUCCCCCCUGGGGGCGGAGUAGGGGCUUGUGGGCUCCCUGACGGCCCACUAGCCCCCCUCUUUUGCUAUAUGAAGAGUCUUGGUCCAGAAAAAAUCAGACAGGAGCUUUUUCGUGGUUUCGCCGCUGCCACGAGGCGGAACUUGAGCAGAUCCAAUCUAGAGCUCCGGCAGGACGAUCCUGCCGGGGAAACUUUCCUCCCGGAGGGGGAAAUCGUCGCCAUCGUCAUCACCAACACUCCUCUCAUCGGAGGGGAGGCAUCUUCAUCAACAUCUUCAUCAGCACCAUCUCCUCUCCAAUCCCUAGUUCAUCUCUUGUNNNNNNNNNNNNNNNNNNNNNNNNNNNNNNNNNNNNNNNNNNNNNNNNNNNNNNNNNNNNNNNNNNNNNNNNNNNNNNNNNNNNNNNNNNNNNNNNNNNNUGAGAACAGAGUAACGCCUUAAUCAAGAUGACAUGAUGUAGAUGGACAAUCUCAUAUCUACGAUAAAAGCCCAUCUUGUUACCCAUGAUGGCAACAACACGAUGCGUGCCUUGCUGCCCUUUCUGUCACUGGGAAAGGUCACCACACGGUAUGAACCCAAAACCAAGCACUUCUCCCAUUGCAAGAAUCAUAGAUCUAGUUGGCCAAANNNNNNNNNNAAAGAACAGAGUAACGCCUUAAGCAAGAUGACAUGAUGUAGAUGGACAAUCUCAUAUCAACGACAGAGCCCACCUUGUUACCCUUGAUGGCAACCACUCAAUGUGUGCCUUGCUGCCCCUACUGUCACUCGGAAAGGUCACCACAUGGUAAGAACCCAGAACCAAGCACUUCUCCCAUUGCAAGAAUCAUAGAUCUAGUUGGCCAAACAAAACCCAAGACUCGGAGAAACUUACAAGGAUAUCAAAUCAUGCAUAUAAGAAAUCAGCAAAGACUCAAAUAUAUAUCAUAGAUACUCUGAUCACAAAUCCACAAUUCAUCGGAUCUCGACAAACACACCGCCAAAGAGGAUUACAUCGGAUAGAUCUCCAUGAAGAUCAUGGAGAACUUUGUAUUGAAGAUCCAAGAGAGAGAAGAAGCCAUCUAGCUACUAACUACGGACCCGUAGGUCUGAAGUGAACCUCUCACGAGUCAUUGGAGGGGCGAUGAUGAUGAUGAUGAAGCCCUCCAACUCCAAUGUCCCCUCCGGCAGGACGCCGGGAAGGGUCUCCAGAUGAGAUCUCGCGGAAACGGAAGCUUGCGGCGACGGAAGAGUGUUUUUGUGGAUGCCCUGAUUUUUUUUGGAUUUUUAGGGAAUGCAUAGGCCAAAGACCUAGGGCAGGGGAGCACCAGGGGGGCCACAAGCUUGGUUGUCGCGGCGUCCCCCCUAGCCGCGGCAACAGGGCUUGUGGGCCCCCUGUGGGCCCACUUUCUUGGCCCUCAAGCCUCCCGAUCUUCUUCCGUUCUGGAAAUAUUUAUUUCGGGGAUUUUAUUCCGUUUGGACUCCAUUCCAUAAUCAGAUCUGAAAAGAGUCAAAAACACAGAAAAAUUAGGAACUGGCGCUUUGCACUGAAUUAAUAAGUUAGUCCCAAAAAAGAUUUAAAAGGUAAACAAAACAUCCAAAGUUGACAAGAUAACAACGUGAAACCAUCAAAAAUUAUAGAUACGUUUGAGACGUAUCACGCUCGUGAAGCUAGACCUAGCACGCACCUUCGACUCGAUCAUAUGGCCAUUCAUGUUUGAUGCCCUUUGCCAAUAUGGCCCUGGCACCCGGUUCCUUGAUUGGUUGGUGAAAAGAUCGAUAUGGUUGACUAGAGGGGGGUGAAUAGGCAACUAACAAAUAUUAAAACUUUUUUACAAACAAAUAUGGCUUAGCGAUAAAUAGGUUGACUAGAUAUGAAACUAGGAGAGCAACCUAUAUGACGCUAACAACAAUAAUAAGAAGCAAUAAGUAAAUACAAGUAAAAUUAAUAAAUAACCACAAGUGGAAACGACGAAGACGUGGGUAUGUUUCUGAAGUUCCUUCCCUUUGAGGGGAACUACGUCGCUGUUGGAGCGGUGUGGAGGCACGAUGCUCCCCAAGAUGCCACUAGGGCCACUGUAUUCUCCUCACGCCCUCACACGAUGCGAGGUGCCGUGAUUCCACUAAGUGGUGCCCUUGAAGGCGACGACCGAACCAAUACAAACAAGGUUGGGGCAAUCUGCAUAAUUUAAUUGGAGGCUCCCAACAAGACCAUGAAGCUUCACCACAAUGGAAUAUGGCUUCGAGGUGACCUCAACCGUCUAGGAUGCUCAAACACCCAAGAGUAACAACAUCCGCAAGGGAUUAGUGGGGGAAUAAAAUUUCUCUUGGUGGAAGUGUAGAUAAAGGCCCUCUCAACCAAACCCUAGAAUAUCAACAAGAUUUGUUGGCUAGGGAGAGAGACCGGGCUAAAAUGGAGCUUGGAGCAACAAUGGAGCUUAGGGGGGCAAAGGUGAAGUUCUUACAGAAGUAGAACCCCUUAUAUAGUGGGAAGGGAAUCUGCCCGUUGCCCACCACUUUUGCACAAGACAGAGCGGUACUACCGCUCCUGGGAGUGGUACUACCAAUGAUAAGCGGUAGUACCGCUAAGGGUGAACGGUACUACCGCUCAGGCAAAAAGGGGCAAGCAAAAACAGAGGCAACAACGCUAGUACCACUGGGGGCGGUUGUACCAAACGGUAGUACCGCUCUACGGGCAGUACUACCGCUCCAUACUAUCGCAAAACACGCCCAUAAAGAGUGUUCGCACUUUUGAGAUCGGCACAACCCGGCGGCACCUGAGAAAACUACCGCACUAAGAGGCACUACCGCCCGCAGGGCGUAACUACCGAUAAUAAGCGGUAGUACCGCUGCUAGGCAUGAUAGGAAGGAAGAGAAAGCUCCAUUGAAGCGGAAAAGAGGUGAAGGAGAAGUCUACGUGAUGAUUCCACGCGCACUUUUCCAAAGCGGAUCCCCUCUUAAUAGUACGGCUUUUCCUAUGACCCAAGUCCACCGACAACGAAGCGUAAGAGCAAAAUCGUCUUCUCAUCAGAACACCGAGGGGUAAGAACCGUCCUUGUGCAAACCUAGGAAAUUCUUGAAAGACUUAUUGCUCACGAUUAGUCCGCAAAAGUGUUGUCAUCAAUCACCAAAAUUACAGGAGUAGAAAUAUGCCCUUGCAUCUAGCCAUCCUACUCUCCUCGGCAAGAACCAGAGUGAUCGUCAAUGGAGAACCAGGCCCACCAAUUUGGCAUAGAUGUGGGUUCUGCCAGGGUGAUGCGCUAUCACCCCAGGUCUUCGUGCUCGCGAUCGUUAUGCUAGGUCGCCUGCUUCGUUGUGCCACCCAGUUGGGUGUACUACAUCAGCUUCACCCACGACACCAGAUGUCAUCGGUUUACCUCUACGCAUAAGACAUGAUCCUCUUCUAUCACCCCACUUUGAGCAACAUCUCCUUUGUCAAGUGCAUCAUGUGGCUAUUUGGGUGCGCCUUGGGCCUCUAGGUCAACUACUCAAAGAGAACGGCCACCUUGAUUCGCAGCAAUGCGGAUGCAGCCGCGCCCGUUGUAUAGUUACUAGGUUGCCCUAUCGUCGAGUUGCCCAUACCUAUUUGGGCAUUUCUCUAACGCUGCGUCGGCCUCCCACUGCCCAGCUCCACCCCGUCGUCGACAAGACUACCCACAUGCUCCCUUGUUGGAAGGUGCAUCUCAUGAACAAAGCCAGCCGCCUUGCAUUCUUGAAGGCCCUCCUCAGUGUGAUCCCGAUACAUCAGCUUCUUGCUCUAGCUCCCCCCAAGAAAACCACUCAAGGUGCUCGAGAAGAUCCAGUGAGGCUCCCUCUAGGCCGGGCGCAUUGAGGCAAACGGCGACCUGUGCCAUGUCAACUGGCAAUGGGUUGCCUGGACGAUCCCCAUUGGAGGUCUUGGCAUCUGUGACCUCACGCACACCAGCCUCCCAUUGCGCACACGGUAGCUCUCGUUCAGCCGCACAGACACCACCGGAGCAUGGGCAGGCCAAGACUUGCAAUUCUCCGACCAAGUGCACGCAUUCUUCUUCGCCUCCACCUUCAUGCAACUGGGAAAUAGCACGGACGACCACUUUUUGGGAGGAUCAUUGGAUUGGCGGAUGCUCCAUCCGCGAAAUCGCUCCGCUCCUAUACAUGUGCAUCAUCAAGCACCAGCACAAGAUCAGGAAGGUUGUGGAGGGGCUUGUGGCCAACUGUAGGAUCAAAAGUAUGUCUAGAGGGGGUGAUUAGACUACUUGACAAGAUAAAAACCUAGCCUAUUCCCAAUUUUAAGUUUGGUCCAGUUUUACCAAUUAUGACUAGUCAUGUACACCCUACAAAUGCACACCUAAGAGUAUAGUAGCGGAAAGUAAAACAUGCAAGUGUAAAGUAGAGGGUAAGGUAAGGAGAUCAAACCUAAGGGUUGACACGGCGAUUUUUGUCAUGGUUCUGAUAGGUGGCGCUAUCGUACAUCCAUGUUAGCGGAGACUUCAACCCACGGAGGGUAAUGGCUGCGAGAGUCCACGAAGGGCUCCACCCACAAGGGUUCCACAAAGAAGUGGCAUUGUCUAUUCCACCACGGCUUCCGUCAACACAGGACUAGCCUCACUCAUAGUGGAUCUUCACGAAGUAGGCGAUCUCCUUGCCCUUACAAUACUCUUGGUUCAACUCCGCAACACAAAGUAGGAGGCUCCCAAGCGACACCUAACCAAUCUAGGAGGCACCACCCUCCAAAAGGUAAUAGAUUUGGUAGAACUAUGAACUCAUUUCUCUUGUGCUUCAAAAGAUAGUCUCCUCAACACUCAAUCACUCUCUCUCAGAUUUGACAGGGGUAGGAGAGACUCGUCAUGUGGAAAGCAACUUGGGGAGGAUUGAAAUCAAGGUUCAAAUGGUUGGAAUGAAACUCUUGAUCUCAACACAUGAGUAGGUGGCUCUCUCAGAAAUAUGGAUCUGGCAAGUCUAAGCGUGUUUUGAGUGCUUCCUCCAUGAAUGAGAGGUAGGUCGACGGGUAUAUAUAGGCAUCCCCCAAAAUCUAACUAUUACAACAUUAUUGCCCAACUCGGUGACGCUGAAAUGAAUCUCGGUGGUACCGAGUUGCACUAACUGUGGUAACUUUUGAAUUUGUGGUGAGACAGAUAUAUGAAUCUCGGUGGUACCGAUACGAUGACCUAGACCAGUUUCCUAAUCUCGGUGAGACCGAUUUAAAACUCGGAAAUUCCGACUCUUGAAAUCUUCUCAACAGAAAUUUGGUCACUGAAUCUCGGUGGCAUCGAUAGGAAUGUUGGUGGUACCGAUAUGGUAGGGUUUGGCAUAGGUUCUAUCAAGUGUAAAAUCGGUAGGGCCGAAUGAAAACUGAUGGUGGCACCGAUUUUGCUGAUUUGGGUUUGGACACAGAUACUUUGUGGGAGAAUGGCUGAGUAUUUUUUCGUGGCUACCUCUAAGCACUUGAGCAACCAAUUCAUCAUAAUACCUCAUCCCCUUUUAAUAGUAUUGAAUUUCCUAUGGACUCAAAGUGAUUUCUCACAAAUAUAAAAUGUAGAGUCNNNNNNNNNNGAGCCAAUCCUAUUCCUUCCUUGCAUCAAGGGGCAUCUCCUCACAAUCCUAUAUCCAAAGCAUCUUUGAACUUUUCUAAAAUAUACUUGAAUAAACUCAUUAUUCCAAUGAUGCAUAUGUUGUGAUUAAUUACCAAAACCACCUUAGGGGCAAUUGUGCUUUGCAUCUCCCCCUUUUUGGUAAUUGAUGACAAAAUAUAGAUCAAAGCUUCAACAAAAGAUAUAAUCAAUGAUUAGCAUCGAUGCUUUGAGAAGUAUUUGAAAAGCAAGAGCUCCCCCUAAAUUUCUGCAUUACUUAUUAUUUGCAUUUGAAUGCAAAUGCACAAUCGAUUAGGAUCAUGGGUUACUCUUACAUGUCACAAACAACUUCGUGGUGCGCAUAAAUGAUAUGACUGAAUAGUAAUGCAUAUAACACCAAACAAGGAAGUGAAUGAUCGUCAUGUAGAUAGCUCCAAGGUAAUAAUGUGGUAGCAUCAAACAACCAAAGCGUAUGAUCAAACACACCUCUAAACGAAUAAAGUCAUCCAAAAGACUCAAAAGUUUUGAAAAAACAAAAGAGAGCAAAUAAAAUGCAAAGCUCUCUCUCUCUCUCUCUCUCAAAGCCCUAUUUAAUCUAUACGUACACUUCUCUCCCUUUACCAAAAAGUUCAAAGGUCUAGAACUAAGCGUCUCUCUCGGCAUGAUCUCCUCCUGUAGCUGAAUAUGGAGUGGACAAGAGAGCAUCGAUGAAGGCUUACGCAGAUGUCGUUGGAGCUGGAGGUAUAGACAGUGGACGUGGAGGAGCAGGAGCUGAAGCUUGAGCUAGCGAAGAUGGUCUUGCUUCUGGAACUGGCACAACUGCUGACCUAGUCUGGUUCCUGAACUAAGUGGUAGUGGGAAGAGGUGAAUCAUCAUCAUCACUGCUGGAGCAUGGAAUCUUCACCGAGUCAACUUCAUGUUGAACUUGUUGAAUAGUGGUGAUCAACUCCGUCACCUUAAAAUCUAGGUCAUGGAAUUUUGUCUCCAUGGUCCUCUCUAGGCUCUUCUGGUUUGGCAAGAUCUCGGAAACUUUCUUCUCCAUCCCUUGGAUGGUGCUGACCAAGAAGGACAACUGCUCAUCUCUGGUUUUGAGCUAUGGGGGUUGAGCUAGAGCAUUUUCUAGCAGCCUCUACAGUUGCUGCCUCUGCUUCCUCUCUAGCAGUAGCUGAGCUGGGAUGUGUAUCAUCCAUCACAACUUCAUUGUCCUAAAAAUCAAGUUAAAGAGGCAGGUAAGGACAAUCAAGUUGAUAAGCAUGCUUGCCAAUCUUGGCAUUGAUGAGCAUUUGAAUGUAUGGAGCAUAUCCACACGAUCUCUUAUGAUCUACAGUAGUCCUCUUGACAAUCUCAACUAUCAAGUCCAUCACUCGGAACCGGAUGUGGGUGUCUAGAUGGUGCGGCAUGUUGAUGGAAUAUCCUCUAAUCAUCUUGUCAUCACCUGAAUUGGGCAUUAGGGUGUGUCAUGAUAGUGUUUGUAGUGGGUAUUCCUUCUUGCAAAAAGUAGACAAAGCCAAAUUUGUGAGACACCAUAUAAUCAUUGGGCACAGCCUUGUACAUGUUGGCCAUGGAGUUGUGAUUCAUCUUGAGUUCUAAAUACACAUCCAAAUAUCCUUCUUGAGCUUUUGGAGCAUCAAUGAUAGUAGCCCACUCAUCAACAGUAGAUUCAUACCGGUGACCCUCAGUUAUCCAAACAAUUCUUCCAUUAGAAUAAAAAUGAGCGAUGGAAUAGAAUUGCAUGAUCAUCUCAUCGUUCCAUGCAGUCAUCUCUUUGCCAACAAAAUCUUCAAUAUCAACCAUCCUGAAAAUUUCUCUCACAUGAGGAAAAUAGUGUUCAUUGGCCUUGAUGUAUUCCCAAUCGACAUAUCUCAUGUCGAUGAUUGUAGGAUUCUUGUCAAGUAGAACUGUCUCAUAGAAAUCUUGUUAUUCCCUUGUGUGAAAGUGGGGAUCAACAGCACUUCUUCUUCUCACAACAUAUGGGUCAAUAGAGAUCCACUUCCUUAAACCUGCAUCUUUCCUUUUCUUCAUGUCCUCAACAACUAGGUGAGAUGCAUCAUGAGUUGCCAUAUGAGGUCUAAGCUUCAUAAGCACAGGGGCAUCCUCAUCUUCCUCAGCAGCAAAAUCUCUGGACACAGAGCCUUUGUUUUUCUUAGUUAUAGGAACAUCCUUUGUAGUCCUCUUGGGAGGUACAGGCUUCUUUGGAGCAGAAGAUUUCUUGGGAGCAGAAGGCUUCUUUGGCAUAGCAUCAGUCAUCAGCUUAGUCAUCUUUGGAGGAGGAACUUCAGAUGGAAUUUCUUCCUCAUCAUCAGCUUCGGCAGUUUCUGUUGGAUCUUCAUACAUAGAGGUUGGUCUUCCAACAACAUGGAUGGUUCUAUUCCUAUCUCUCUUCUGACCUAUCUUUUUGCAAGCCUAGAUUCUGGAGCUCUAGUAUCAGAAGGUUUAGCAUACUCCUUCCUCACAGUCUUCCUGACUGUGGUCUUCUCUUUCUGCUUCUGGGGAGCAGAUUCCUCGGGGAUGAAGUCAGCAUCUUCUUCAUCAGAAUUGAGCUUCCUUCUUGACCUGGUAGAUGCCUUGGGCAUGCCAUGCAAGCUGAGAGUACCUAGGUCAGAAGGGGUCCUAUUAGGACUAGUGCCUGAGUCAGUUUUAGCAUGGGGCUCACUGAAGUUGUUCUGACUAUCCUCGGAACCUGACAUCUUGCAAGACCAAGCAGACAAACAGAUUGGCACACAAGCACACAAGCAGACCCUGUGAAAAGAUAUAGAAGAACUUGAAAAGAUAAGAAUCACAAAAUUACGGAAGUUUUGUCAUAUUUGAACUCGGAAAAAUUUAGUAUUAACUUUCAGCAAAAUAGGAUUUCAGUUCCAUCGAGUCUGAAACUUCGGAGCCACCGAGAUAGAUGUUCUCUUCAACAGAAACUUGGCACGGUUCCACCGAGAACAUUCUCAAUAACCCUAAAACCAAAUCGGUAAGACCGAUUUUUACAACUCAAUGACACGAAGAUCCAAUCUUGCGGACUGCUAACCCUAAAAAUUUCUUUGCUCGCUAAUCUAAGGAAUUUUUCAGCUGGAUAGAACUUGUAGCAAUCGUCGACAGAUAAUGGGAGUGCCUAACUGUGCAAAGAAUCAGAUUGGAGCGCAAAAAGGAAAUCGAAUCCAUACCCUAACUCGACGUGGAUUUGCUAUGGUGGCAACAGCGGUGAAGAAUCCGUCAGCGGCGAGGACUUCGGAAAAGGCGCAUGGGAGAAUCAAGUAGAUGCCCGGGGACUAGGGCGCGGCAGCAAAGGGGUGCGGCUUUCAGUGUUUGAAGAAAUUUUUCAACCAUCGGGCUCCGCUCGUAUAUAUAUCCAUUCGCUGUCGGUGACACCGAGAUGAGAUUUUUGGUGCCACCGAGUUCCUUAACUGUGAGUUGACAGUGAAACUCGGUGAGGCCGAAAAGCUAAACUCGGUUGCACCGAGAUGAUAAAACCUAAUAAACCUAGGCUUCAAUGGGAUCGAGAUUUUGAGGUUGGUCACACUGAGACACACUUUGGUAGGUUUUGGAAUUCAGCCCUUGUCGAGAUGGAUCUCCGAGUGCUCCUCACAUAGAGUGUCCCUAAAGUGCUUGCUCAAAUUUUGUGAUGAAGCAUGAAUAGAAUUUGAGACGAGAAAGCAUAGAUAGCUAGAGGAGGGUACUUAAGCCUUCUUGUAUAUCUAAUUGGCCAAAAGAAAUAGAGAGCCAAAUAACAACAAUUGGAUAUCCUCGAAUGAUCAAAAUAUGCAUACCAACAUGCUCACACAAUAAAAUGUCAAAUAAAACAUGGUGAACAUCCACAGACAUUCUAGCAUUUAUCAAGCACUUUGGCGAUCACGAAGUCAUCUAUAUAUGAGUAUACUCACUUAGGAGCCAAGUAAGAAUACUUGAUCAUAGGUCAUACUCAUCGAUUAAGCACAAGUGGGUUUACCACUUUUACAUAAUGCAUUAAUGUGUUCACAUUGUUUAGGAGGCUCUUAUACUCAAGUCUUAGAAUAAAGCUCCCCCUAAAUGUGACAUCCCCCCUAAGAGGGAUAAACUAACCUUGGGUUUUGUCCUACAAGACUUCAAGUAGGUGUAAGUAGUGGUGGAUGCUCAUUGUUGAUGAAGAUCAUCUUGAGUUGGGAGCAAUCCCUGUUGUUUCUUACUCUUCUCACCUACAUGGGUUAGUCCCAAAGCUAAAGGAACAAAUGCAAAGAUAUCUAUGGACAUGCAGUGAAAUACAUGGGAGAUUAUGUCCAAAGAUGCAUUAAUUUCCUUGUCCCUUUCUCACCUUUGAGGGAAUGUGUGAAUCCUUGAAAUAAUGCAUGUGGUUGGAGUUGAUUGCAUAAAGUUCUUGCCAAAAUGAAUAAGUGUGAAUUUCAUUGGUGGAGUCACCCCUCAAGAACUUUCUAGUUCUUUCUCUUGGGGAUCCACAUCACCUUGAUGGGGAUCCUUGGAGCUGUUGUAGCACUAGAUGAGGUAGUACUAGAAGUGUCCUUGGGAACCCACUCGACCUUGGCUUGGGGUUCUUCCUCAAAUGAAUCAAUCUCCUCUUGAAGCUUUCCCAUGCCCUUAUGGUCUUGUGGUAGAAGGCCAUCUUGCGAGAUUUUUCCCUUGGGGGGGGGGGGNNNNNNNNNNNNNNNNNNNNNNNNNNNNNNNNNNNNNNNNNNNNNNNNNNNNNNNNNNNNNNNNNNNNNNNNNNNNNNNNNNNNNNNNNNNNNNNNNNNNAAGAAGGAGGAGAAGGAGGAGGAGGAGGAGAAGGACUAGAAGGUCCUUGGCCUUCUCCUCCUUCUCCUCCUCCUCCUCCUACUCCUACUCCUACUUCUUCUCUUCUUCUUCUUCUUCUUCUUUCUUUUCAUUUUUCCUAUUUCUUCUCCUCUUCUCCUCUUCUUGGAGCUAAAUGAGCUAACUAUGUAUUUUUGGAGCUAAAUGGGCUAAUUAUGUCAUUGUUGGGGAAAUUAAGGCAAGGAGAAUAUGAAAUAGGAGAAGAAAGAGGAGGAGGAGGAGAAGAAGAAGAAAUAAAGAAGGGGGAGAAGGAGGAGGAGGAGGAGAAGGACUAGAAGGUCCUUGGCCUUCUCCUCCUUCUCCUCCUUCUCCUCCUUCUCCUUCUUCUCCUCCUCCUUUUUCUCCUUCUCCUUCUUCUCCUCCUCCUUCUUCUCCUUCUCCUUCUCUUAUCUUUCUCUUCUUCUUUUUGUUCUUCCUUUUCAUUUCUCCUCUUCUCCUCUUCUUGGAGCUAAAUUAGCUAACUAUGUAUUUUUGGAGCUAAAUGGGCUAAUUAUCUCAUUUUAGAGGAAAACAAGCUAAGUAUAUAAUAUUAAUGAGCUAACCAAGGUUCUUAUGCCAUUUUGAGGUUAUUAUGGCANNNNNNNNNNNNNNNNNNNNNNNNNNNNNNNNNNNNNNNNNNNNNNNNNNNNNNNNNNNNNNNNNNNNNNNNNNNNNNNNNNNNNNNNNNNNNNNNNNNNAUAACCUCAAAAUGGCAUAAGAACCUUGGUUAGCUCAUUAAUAUUAUAUACUUAGCUUGUUUUCCUCUAAAAUGGGAUAAUUAGCCCAUUUAGCUCCAAAAAGACAUAGUUAGCUAAUUUAGCUCCAAGAAGAGGAGAAGAAAUAGGAAAAAUGAAAAGAAAGAAGAAGAAGAAGAAGAGAAGAAGGAAGAGGAGGAGGAGGAGGAGGAGAAGGAGGAGAAGGCCAAGGACCUUCUAGUCCUUCUCCUCCUCCUCCUCCUUCUCCUCCUUCUUCUUUAUUUCUUCUUCUUCUCCUCCUCCUCCUCUUUCUUCUCGUCUUUCAUAUUCUCCUUGCCUUAAUUUCCCCAACAAUGACAUAAUUAGNNNNNNNNNNUAUUUGUUCUUCUUCUCCUCCUCCUCCUCUUUAUUCUCCUCUUUCAUAUUCUCCUUGCCUUAAUUUCCCCAACAAUGACAUAAUUAGCCAAUUUAGCUCCUAAAAGACAUUAUAAGCUCAAAAUGGCAUAAGAACCUUGGUUAGCUCAUUAAUAUUAUAUAGUUAGCUUGUUUUCCUCUAUAAUGACAUAAUUAUCCCAUUUAGCUCCAAAAAUACAUAGUUACCUAAUUUAGCUCCAAGAAGAGGAGAAGAGGAGAAAGGAAAAGAAGGAAGAAGAAUAAGAAGAAGAGAAGAAGAAGAGAAGGAGAAGGAGAAGGAGAAGAAGAAGGAGGAGCAGGAGAAGAAUAGAAGGAGGAGAAGGAGGAGAAGAAGGAGAAGGAGCCCUCCUUCUUCUCCUUCUUCUCUCCUCCUUCUUCUCCUCCUUCUUCUCCUUCUUCUUCUCUUCUUCUUUUUUCUUCUUCUCCUCCUCCUUCUCCUUCUCCUUCCCCUUCACCUCCUCCUCCUCCUCCUCCUCCUCCUUCUUGUUUUUCUUCUCCUUGUUCUCUUCUUGCUUCUUCUCUUUCUUCUUCAGUUUAGCUUAUUUGUCAUAUAUAUGUUGUUGUUCUUCUUCUUCUGACUUUCUUAUUCCCAUUUUCCAGAUUGGAUGUACUACAUGCAUGGAAGCUGGCAUUGGAGUGCUUUAGUUUCCGUUUUUAUUUGAGUUGAUGAACAAUGUGGAACUAUAUGUAUAUGUAUAUAUGGAUGAACAAUAUAUGUGCAACUAUAUGUAUGUAUAUAUGGAUGAAACUUUGUAUGUGUUGGUUCUUUUGAUAUAUGGAAUGUACGUUGAUGAACAAAUGGCAUUGAUGAGCUUUAUAUGUAUAUCAUAUAUGUGUUGUGACCUAUUUAUCAUAUAUGUGCUAUGAAUUAUAUGUAUAUAUGAUGUGAAAUAGAAAAAAUAAACAAAAAUGUGACAAUAUAGGCUCUUUGUCGUCUGCCAGCUGAUGGCAAAGGCCUUUGCCAUCAGCUGGCCGACGGCAAAGGUGCCACGUGGCGCCCAGCUGUGCAAGAUGGGCAGUAGCAGCUGGCCAUAUAGUAUCUUUGUCGUCUGCUUCCAGGGGGCAGACGGCAAAGAAGAGGGCACAGAGGAGGGGGUGGAGGAGGUGGAGGUUGACGGCAAAGAAGAGGAGAGGGUAGGCAGACGGCACAGAAGAGGGGGGAAGCAGACGGCAGAGAAGAGGGGGGAGGCUGACGGCAAAGAAGAGGGGGGAGGCUGACAACAAAGCCUCGGUUAGCCCCUAACGGAGGCAACGCCUGUCGGCUGCCGUCUCGACCACUUUGCCGACUGCUCCUAUGAAAAGCUGACGGCAAAGCUCUUUGCUGUCCGCUUUGGGGAGACAGACGACAAAGAAGCUACAAUGCCGUCGUAGGCUGACGCAGAAAUUUUGCCGGCCGUGAGAUUCUUUGUCGUGUGUGAUAUUGUCUUUGUCGUCCGUGAUUUACUCUUUGCCGUCUGUGAUGGCAGACGGCAAAGAAGCUGAUUCCUGUAGUGAUAUUGAAAAAAUGAUUUGAUGAUAGAUAUGUCUCCAAGAGAAUUUAGAACUUUAUCCCCUAAGGAUGAAUAUGUAAGAAUUACCUAUCCCCCUGAAUCAUAGCAUGUAGAUAUUGGGAGUAGGUAGGGUAAGACAAGUUCAAUCAGAAGAUAGUGCAAAAAAACAUAUCUGAAACAAUUUUAUCUCUCCCCCCAUAAUAGUAGUUCUCCUCCUCUUGUGUAAGCUUAUUGGUUAUAUUUAUCCUCCUUUAUAUAGUCUUAUUGGAAGUUUAUAUUUCUCCCCCUUUGGCAUUAAUUGCCAAAAAGGUCAGAGGUAAGUCUCAUUGAGAGAAAGGGAUCCUUGAUACUUCUCUCUUUGAUGAGGGUUCCUUGAAUAUUUCUCCCCCUUAAGUAGUAGGUAAGGGUUCAUUGAAUGUUCUCCCCCUUUAAUAUGAAUAAGCGUUCCUUGAACUAUCUCCCCCUAUGUUAGGGAUCCUGGAUGUUUCUCCCUCUUAUAUUGUGGGAUCAUUGAGGGUUUCUCCCCCUAGAAAAGUUUUCUCCCCUAGAAAAUAAUGCUAAAACUAAUUUUGUUUCCCAAAAUUUUCAGUAAGAUCUGAGGUGGCAAUGAAACAUGGGAUCAUUGAUAAUCUUUCUCCCCCUAAGGCAAAAGUCCAAAAAUAUCAGAAAAACAAAGGCAGUGAUAAUAUUGGACUCACCGAGGCAAUGUGAUUCGGUAGAACCGAGAAUGAAAAUUAGGCCUGUGGGAGAAAUCGGUUGGACCAACUUUCCCAUAUCGGUGAAACCGAGUUCAUUGAAAAUCAACUCCUUAAUUGAAAAAAGACAGAUAAUAAUCUAAAGCUUGUUAUAAGAUGCCAAUUAUGAAAGAAAACAUAAAACAACACCAAAUUGUAAGUUAUUAUUAUUAUUAUUUUGAAAUAUACAUACAUAUAGAUGAGAGUUGAAUGGUUCCCAGGAAGUAUGCAAUGAAAAAUGUGAACCAUACAAGAAUCUCCAUCUAGAUAUAGGGCGGUGGCUAGGUCACCUAUAUUAGAGUAUUUGACUUGAGGAGUCAAGCAAGACUGCUUGAUCAUAGGUCAUACUCAUCGUUAAGUGUCCCAUUUUGCGCUGAAGCCCUUAAUGUCUUCAUAUCACUUGAGUUGCUUUACCUCAUGAUUUGAUGUAAAUCUUAUCAAGGAUAUGAGUACAUAACUUUGAAUGAUGUUGAUGACAUGGUAUGUAAGUGAACUUGUCGUGGAUGCUCCAAGUUGAUGAAGAUCAUCUUGAAUUGGGAGCUAUCCUUGUCAUUUUGGUUCACUUUUCACCUACAAUGGUUAGUCAUGCAAGGAAGAACAUAAUACAUCCAAAUGACAUGAGUGAAUUUCAUUAUCAUAUAAUUGACAAGGAUAUGAUUUUGUUGUCUUCUUCCUCCAUCUCCGAUGAAGGAGUUACUGAUACUUGGCCAUGACAAGUUUUCUUUUGAUGUGAGUUUAUGGCAAUCUUGUGGAGUGUAUUGCUUCCAAGUACCUACAACAGGGUUAGAUGCAAUACAAGGGAGCAUAGAUUCCAAGAUAUAAGAUAGUGUCAUAUCAAUAGCAUCAAGGAAAAGACAAUCAAGCUCAUGCCCUUGCAUGCAUCCGAGUGAGUCUAGCUCAAGUUUGAAGCAUCACUGAUGUUCAACUCGCUCCUCAAAUGACAGAAUACGUUCCCAUCAAGUGGCUUGGUAAAGAUAUCAGCUAAUUGUUUGUCGGUAUGAACAUGUUGAAGAUCUGUAUCUCCUUUACCAACAUGAUCACUAAUGAAAUGAUGUCGCACUUGAAUAUGUUUUGUUCGAGAAUGUUGAACAUGAUUAUAGGCAAUUUUAAUAGCACUUUCAUUGUAACACAACAAUGGAACAUUUUAAACAUGAAUGCCAUGAUCCUUAAGAGUUUGAGUCAUCCAUAGUAAUUGUGCACAACAUGAUACGAUGACUAUAUAUUCAGCUUCGACAAUAGAUAAAGAUACCGAGUUUUGUUUCUUGGAUGACCAAGGCACAAGAGAUCUCCCAAGAAAUUGACAUGUACCCUAGGUGGAUUUUCUAUCAACCUUGUCUCUGGCAUAGUCUGAGUCAAAAUAGCCAACAAGAUUAAAAGAAGAUCCCAUGGGAUACCAUAUGCCAAAAUUUGGUGUAUGUAUCAGGCAUCUCUUGAUUAUUUUUCACAGCCAAUAGAUGACACUCUUUAGGUGUCGCUUGGUAUCGGGCACACAUGCAAACACUCAACAUGAUAUGAGGAUGGGAGGUACAUAGAUAUAGCAAUGAACAAAUCAUUGAUCGAUAAACUCUUCGAUCAACUGGUUUUUCCUCCUAAGCAAGGUCAAUAUGUCCACUAGUAGGCAUGGGGGUUAUCAUACCUUUCCAUUCUUGCAUAUUGAACUCCCUGAUUAAGUCCUUGGUAUACUUGGUUUGAUAGAUAAACGUACCUUCUCUCGAUUGUUUGAUUUGCAAUCCAAGGAAGAAUUUCAACUUGCACAUCAUUGGCAUCUCAUAUUUCUCUGACAUCAACUUUCCAAACUUCUCACUAAAAUGUGGGUUAGUAGAACCAAAGAUAAUAUCAUCCACAUAUAUUUGGCACACAGAUAGUUCUCCAUUAACUCUUUUUAGUGAAUAAGGUUGCAUCAAUUUUACCAAUUUCAAAACCCUUUUCUAUGAUAAACUUCGUUAGGCAUUUGUACCAAACUCCAGGGGCUUGUUUAAGACCAUAUAAAGCUUUACAAAGUUUGUAGACAUGAUUAGCUUUCUUAGGGUUCAAAAAUUUGGGGGUUGUUUGACAUAAACCUCCUCGUCAAUUUCACCAUUUAGAAAAGCACUUUUGAUAUCCAUUUGGUAAAGAGUGAUAUCAUGGUGAUUGGCAUAAGCAAGAAUAAUGCGAAUGACUUCAAGUCUAGCAACGGGGGCAUAAGUCUCACCAUAGUCCAUACCUUCGACUUGCAUGUAUCCUUGGGCUGCAAGACGCGCCUUAUUGCAUACAACUUGACCAUCUUCAUCUUGCUUGUUCCGAAACACCCAUCUUGUACCAAUGAUGUUUUGCUCGGCUUCGGGCUUUUCUCAACAAGUGUCCACACUUGAUUCCUCUCAAAGUUGUGUAGCUCUUCGUGCAUGGAAUUCACCCAAUCCGGGUCUUGAAGGGCUUCUUCUACCUUCAAAGGCUCAAUGCUAGAGAUGAAAGAAUAAUGCUCACAAAAGUUAGCUAAACGAGAUUUAGAGAGAGUGAUUCUCCCGGUUUGUAUGUCACCGAAUUUUUGAUUCAACGGAUGAUCUUUGUCCACUCUUUCUCGAACUCUUGACAGCUUCUUCUUGUUGGAUGGUUGAGCUUCUUCAUCAACAUCAUCUUGCACGUUGUCAUUGACGGUGCCAUCUCCUUGAGGUGGUGGUGAGGAAGGUUAAGGUGGAUCAUCAUGAUGUACUUUCUCCUCUUCUUCAUCAUGUCAUGUACCGCUUGUGGAUGCCUCCAUGUCGUUUUGUGGUUCACCUUGACGCGAAGUAGGAGCUUACACUUGAAUUGAUGAAGUACUUUCCUUCACCUCCGUGGGACGAAUCUUGCUGAUAGGUAUAUCUUGGAUGGCUUCCGAAGGUUCCUUAUCUCCUACAUCAUUUGGUAAUUGUUCGACUUGCGAACCAUUAGAUUCAUCAAACUUCACAUCUACCGUCUCUUCAACUUUUCGAGUGAAGAUGUUGUAGACACGGUAAGUGUGGGAGUUCGAUCCGUAAUGAAGUAGGAGACCUUCAUGAGAUUUAGGAGAAAAUUUAGUGUGAUGAUGCUUAUCAAGAAUGUAGCAUUUAGAGAUGAAUACUCGAAAGUUCUGAACUUGGGGUUUGCUACUGGUGAGUAGCUCGUAUGUCGUUUUACCGUGAAGCUUGUGUGAGUAGAGUCGGUUUAUGGUGUGACAAGUUGUUUCCACGACUUCUGCCCAAAAAUGUCUUGGCGUCUUGUAUUGGUCAAGCAUCAUUCUUGCCAUCUCUAUGAGAGUCUGGUUCUUCCUCUCAACAACUCCAUUUUGUUGAGGUGUGUACAUUGCCGAGAACUCUUGUGAGAUACCUUCGUCAUCAAGAAAAGUAUCCACAUUUGUGUUCUUGAACUCUGUUCCGUUAUCACUCUAAACUUUCUUGAUCUUCACUUUGUAAGCAUUGGGACCAAAGAGAUCCAUGUGAAGUAGCUCGAGUGGCCUUCUUGUAGUCAUGAUGUUCUUCGCGGGAUGACUUCCACCAACUUGCUUUCCUGCUUGACAAGCACUACAAAGUCCAUCUUUGUCAAAGAUAACAUCUCUAACACCAAGAAUAUGAUCAACUUCUGUCAAGGUGUAACACCCCGGACACACCCGCCGAUAAUCGAUACUCCUGGCGGGAUCUAGACUCGCCCCACAUAUCAAUACUAGUCUCUUCUGCGCACUUUGUCCUCACUCAUGCGCACCCGGGAACAACUUCCCGGUCGAUCACCCAUCCUAGAAUUACUCCAAGCCGAGCACGCUUAAUCUGGGAGUUCUCUUCGAAUGGGCUCCCGGAAAAGAAAGAAUUCCUUAUUUAUAUGAGUAGUCUAUCAUCCCUAAUAAGCCAGGCUAUCACAUACACCACCACUCACAGGAACCGACGUCCUCCUCGGGCCACAGGAGCGUUCCCUCUUGGCACAAACAUUUGUGCAUCCAGUCCAGUACAUGUGCCAUGACGUGUGCCACGACGGCUCACAAACGUCAUGAACAACAUGACUGCACACCUGUCCACAAACAUCCUUAUUUUGGCACGAGGGCCUCAACAGGGAUAGAAGCGCAUGUCGUCGUUUCGCAAGAAUGGAUAUCGUUACAAGUACAUGUACUAAAAAGAAGAGAUAUAUGGAAUUGGCUUACACUCGCCACAUGCUACAUCAAAGUCACAUCAGUACAAUACAUAAACAUCAUGUAGAAGAGCAGGGUUCAACUACGGACGAAAAGAAACGAUAAAAGAACGACGUCCAUCCUUGCUAUCCCAGGCUGCCGACCUGGAACCCAUCCUAGAUCGAUGAAGAAGAAGAAGAAACUCCAAAUUAACAACCAUCGCGCUCACGUCUUAAUAUCACUUUACCUGAACCUGCAACUGGUGUUGUAGUAAUCUGUGAGCCACAGGGGACUCAGCAAUCUCAAUUCCAAAGGUAUCAAGACUAGCAAAGCUUAAUGGGUGAGGUAUGGUUAAGUGGUGAGGCUGCAACAAGCGACUAAGCAUUUGUUUAGUGGCUACCUUAUGAGUACAAGAACAAAGAUGGGGGAGAUUUACGCACAGCGGACGUGAACUACUAAUGAUCAAAUGAAUGAUUCUGAACACCUACUUACGUCAGACAUAACCCCACCGUGUACUCGAUCGGAGAAGGAGCUCAUGAAAGAGACAGUCACAGUUACACACUCAGCUGACAAGUUUUAGUUAAGUUAACUUCAAGUUAUCUAGAACCAGAUAUUAAACAAACUUUCCACGUUGCCACAUAACCACGGGCACGACUUUCCGAAAGAUUUAACCCUGCAGGGGUGCUCCAAAUAGUCCAUCACAAAUUACCACAAGCCGCAUAGAAAUCCUCGAUCGCGAAUCUCGCGAUCUCGUCAGACUCCUUAGUGGAAAACCUCAACUCUAAGAUUACCCAAAGCAUCACCGGAAUCCCGAUGCACGAGACAUUCAUCAAAGGUAAAACUAAUCCAGCAAGGCCGCAUGUCGACAAUCCCGAUAGUAGCCGUGUAUCUCGUUCUCAGGACACGACGGAUUGUCCAAACUUCCGGUAGGCCAAUCAGAGAGUUGCCCCUGGUAGCCACCGGCGGUUGAAAGGUUGGACGAACACUCAUGCGGAGCACUGGCCCGGGGGUUGAUUAAAUUUCCUCGGGUUAAUUACUCCCUAUGUGGUUCAUCAGUUAUUAGGCAAAUGUAGUACCAAAGCUGGGCCAUGCCAGACCAGUUUUAAUCUAAGACGAAUUAUCAAGGGGAUCCCCAUAACAACCCCGAUCGUGUUAGGAGCGCCCAAUUAUGGAAUAUAACACCGGUAGCCGAAACUAAGGGGGAAAGGAUGGAACAAAACACCAGGCUAGAAAGGACGAGCCUUCCACCCUUUACCAAGUAUAUAGGUGCAUUAAAUUAAAUAGCAUUAAUAUGGUGGUAUAACAUGAAACUCAUGUUAUCACAUGGAAGCAACUACACCUGCAACUAACAACGCUAACAAAUGGUUAAGCAUGCAGUAACAUAGUCAAUCAGUGGUUUGCUAGGUUGUGAACAUGUUGAAGGUUUCAUGGCAAUGUUGAGAGGCUGACAUUUAACAGGUGGUAGGCAACGAGACAUAGUAAUAGAAACGAAACAACUAGCAUGGCAAUGAUAGUAAUGUUAUCUAGGGAAAUGAUCAUCUUCCCUGAGAUCCUGCUUGGAAGAAGAACGACUCUGUGAAGCAGACGAACCGACAUAUUCGAGUGGAUCCUCACAUUCCGACACGCUUGCGAAACUCUAUCGAGACGAAGCAAACCGAAAACAAGAAUCAACACACAAUAUUCACCACGCACAUACACGACAUGAUGCACAACACAUAUGAUGCAUGACGAGUUAAAUUAUGCAAGGUAUGGCAUGGCAAUUCACAACAGUCAAACGCUACACAUUAAGUGAAGCUCAAUAUGCAACUCGUUGCAUGUUGACGAAACUCCACGUUGAAUUAUUUAGUUCACUCCCAUUUAGAUGCACGACAAUAUUAAAAUGUUGUUAACAUGGCAAGGGUGAAGCACAAAUUAAACUACCUAUCGAGGCAUUUUAAAUGAGGUCGGAAACGACAUAUAGCAUCUCCGAAAUGACCCCACACGUUUACUUUGUAAAUUGUCCAGAUUUGUCCUAACCACAUUUUAUGUUUGUUAAACGAUAAGACAAAGUGGUUCACGUGAUUCUACUCAUCGUUCUAGUCCAGUUACAUAUAUGGCUCAUCUCCGACGGAGCUACGGUUAAUUAACUACGACCUAAACCGUUUUAUCAUGUCGAUACGCAAACCAAAGCAAGUAGUACGCCUAACAGCUUUAAACAUGCACGCGAGCUAGAAAAUAUUAAUCUAUGCAAAAUUCUACACGUUUUACAUAUAUAACUUAUUUCAAUACGAGGCACAAUUGAAAAUGUACGUAUGUAUAAAAUAUACACAUAAUUUGUAAUUGUGAAAUUCGAGGCUAAUUAGACAAACUCGCAUACGAAAAAAAAAACACAACCGGACCGAGUUGCACCAUAGUGCAGCAGCCCAGGAGUGGAUUGGACCCAAGUUGCACAAAAUGAAAUGAGGCUCGAAUUGGAGUUGAUCCAAAGACCUCUCAUGUGGAGUUGCAAGGCACCUGCCAAUGCGCUGCUGCCCAACUUGUGGUGGAACUAAGACAUGGUGCAAUUAAACGAAUAACAAGGCAUAAAUAUAUUAGCAUAGGUGGGAAUUGAAACCCAGACCCCUUGGAUGAGCAUCUCCCUUCGUUGCCAGUUGGACUACGAGGCAUACUCUGUCCUAAUUCAGCUUCCACCGAUACAGGUAUAUGGCGCGGGGCAGAGGCUCACCUCUGGCCAGAUCUGCCGGUUGAUAGAGCUAUGAAGGCAGUCGGUGAUCAACAGCCAAGGCCACGAUGGGGACGGGCCCUGUCGACGAGGUCCGACCAGGAACGGGCAGAUCGGGAUGCGGGCUACCGGAUCCGGGGAUUCUUGGCACCAGAGGGCGACGACGACAGCUAUUGGCGGCUGGCGGAGCUCCUGGACAGCCAUGGCUGUCCCUGCAGCUUCUCCAAGAGAGGAAAAGGUCACGGGAGAGAAAGAGCAACGAGGAGGGAGGAGAAGGCAGGGCGAGGCACUGGCCUGGGUCGCGGUGGUCCGUCGAGGCAGGCUAGAUGAGCUCCGACGAUCACCAGAAUCCGGAGCUGCGAGCAUGGGACGAGCGGGGCUCUGGAUCGGGGCUCCUCCCCGAUCUGGAGCUCAGAUGCGACGCGACACACACGCGACGGCCUAUGGGCCAGACGGGCCUCGUCCGGGCUCCACGGGCCGCGGUGGAGUGGGGUUUUGUGGGGAGGCAUGGGCGUGGUAGGAUCUGGAUCGAACGAUCCAGAUCGCGGCGGCGGCACGGCGGCGCAGGUGGUGUCUAGAAUGGUUAGGGGGAGGACAAGUGGCGGCGGGGCAGCGGGGAAGAAGGUCUAUGGCUAGGGUUUCCGAAAAUGGAGGGGUAGGGCGUCCAUAAAUAGUAGGAGGGGGUUUUGGGCAUUUUUGGACCCUUUGAUCUCAAUCGGACGGUUUCGGUUGCGUCCUAGGGCUAGGUAGGCUAGUAGGCUGUGGAGAGGUGGUUGGGUCAAGAAGAGAGGGAGGUUUUGCGGCCCGACGACACGAGUUUUAAAAUACUGAAACAACCAACAAAUAAACCGAUGACGAUGCCGCUACGGUCGACCGUACGGGUAUCAAACGGACUCCGAUUGCGACGAAAUUUGGCACGCGGCCUACCUACACUAUAUUUAGACCGCACGCCAAGUUUCAACCCAAUCCGAGAAUAUUUUAUGCGCACUUCUAAAAACAAUUUUUUAUCGAUGACGCGGGCGCGUGCGAGUGUGGACGGUCUCAAAACGGUCAACAACGAAAACGGAGAGAACCAGCAACUAAUAACGGAUGCAAGUUUGAAAACUGAUGGCAACGGAGUGUCGAUGCAAUGCGGAUGAUGCACAUGAUGCGAUGAUGAAUGCGACACCCAAACGAGUCACACAAAGAGAACGAAAUAAAAGGGGAAUCUUCUCGAGCGUCGGUAUCGGGUUGUCACACACCCGCCGGCGGUCGUUACUCCUGGCGGGAUCUAGACUGGCCCCACAUAUCAAUACUAGUCUCUUCUGCGCACUUUGUCCUCACUCAUGCGCAUCCGGGAACAACUUCCCCGGUCGGUCACCCAUCCUAGAACUACUCCAAGCCGAGCACUCUUAACCUAGGAAUUCUGUUCGAAUGGGCUCCCAAAAAAGAAGGAAUUUCUUGUUUAUAUGAGUAGUCUACCAUCCCUAAUAAGCCAGGCUAUCACACUUGUUACGCAUACCUACAUGUCCUAACCUUCUAUGCGAUAACCAACCUUUAGAAGAUUUUGCAAUAAGACAUGUACAGGGUUUGGAUUUUUUUAGUGAAAUCGACAAUGUAUAGAUCACCUUUAUGGAUACUAGUAAGGACCAUGUUAUGAUUGUCGCUACGAAACACUUGGCAAUCAACUUUCGUAAAUAAAACAUUGAAACCAAAGUGCUAGUCUAGAUAUGGAAAGAAGAUUGUAUCCAAGGGAUUCAACAAGCAUGACAUUUUUAAUGGAACUAUCAUAAGAUAUGGCUACCUUACCAUGACCAAGUACCUUACCUUUGGAGUUCUCUCCAAAGGUCAGAUACCUUCGAGGUCCACGGUUUGGUGUGAUCUCAUGGAACAUGUCUUUAUCUCUGGUCAUGUGAUCGGUGCAUCCACUGUCGAGAACCCACUCCUUUCCAUCGGCCACGUAGUCUCUAAGGUUCGCCAUAAGACUAAGGUUCAUCUUGGUCUUUUCAUACUUGAUGUCAAACCCUUCAUCUUCAUCAUAGUAGCCAUGCUCCACAUUGUCGUCGUGGGACGAAAUAUCCUCGUCAUAAGAAACAAGAAUUUCAUCAGAAUUUUGACUAUGACAAUGUUCAUAUUUAUGCAUGUGGAUGGCUUCAACAAUGACAUUGUUAAUGGUAAUGACAUCUCCUUUAGCACGCAUGAGGUCACGAAGCUCAAAUAAGCAUUUAUCAAAAUUAGGAUCGGUUGGCUCCAUUUUUUGAAAGGCAAUGCAUUUAUGAAAAAUGAUCUCAAGAUUUUUCAAUGAAUAGUCGGGAUAUCUUUUCUCUUAAGUUUUUCCACAAAGUGCGAGCACACUCAAAUUUUUUUAAUUGAUUAAGCACAUUUCUUGCAGUCCUCUAAUGAUUAGAUUAACAGUUUGAAGAUUACCAAGCAUAUCAAUUCUUCAUCAUGAGAAGGAUGAAAGGUUCAAUGGGAGGCUCGUAGGAAUAUUCAACAUACUUGCGCAAAUGGAAUUUAUCAAAUAUAUCAAGCAUUUCAUAUUUUCAUUGUCUAAAAUAUUCCCCAUCAAGAAUAUGCACUCUACAACUAAUAUUCCCCAAACUAGGCACAUCCAUCUUCCUCCAAUGGUGUUUAAACCAAGGUUUUGGAGACCUUGCUCUCAUACCAAUUGAGAGAUCGAUACAAGAGGUGUCUAAAGGAGGGGGUGAAUAUACUAUUUGCAUGAAUUAAAAUCCCAGCCUUUUCCCAAUUUAAUGUUGACAGAUUUUAGCGAUUCUAACAAGUCUAGUGCACCCUACACAUGCUAGUCAACAAGUAUGGCAGUGGAAAGUAAAGACUUUGCACAUGUAGUAAGGAGUAAAGUUUAAGAAUAUCAAAUGCGUAGAAGUUUACACGACGAUUUUUGGCAUGGUUUCCAUAGGUGGCGCUAUCGUACGAUCAUGUUAGUGGGGACUUCAACCCACAAGGGUAACGACUGCGAGAGUCCAUGGUGGGCUCCACCCACAAGGGGUCCACGAAGAAGCGGCCUUGUCUAUUCCACCAUGGCUUCCGUCCACACAGGACUAGCCUCACUCACGGUAGAUCUUCACGAAGUAGGCGAUCUCCUUACCCUUACAAACAUCUUGGUUCAACUCCACAACACGAAGCAGGAGGCUUCCAAGCAACAUCUAACCAAUCUAGGAGGCAUCACCCUCCAAAAGAUAAUAGAUGUGGUAGAACGAUGAACUCCUUUCUCUUGUGCUUCAAAAGAUAGUCUCCUCAACACUCAAUCCCUCUCUCAUGGAUUUGGCAGGGGUAGGAGAGAUUGAUCUUGUGGAAAGCAACUUGGGGAGGCUAGAAAUCAAGGUUCAAAUGGUAGGAAUGUAAUCUCUUGAUCUCAACACAUGAGUAGGUGGCUCUCUCUCAGAAAAAUGGAUCUCCCAAGUGUAAGUGUGUUCUGAGUGCUUCCUAUACGAAUGAGAGAUAGGUGGAGGGGGUAUAUAUAGGCAUCUUUCAAAAUUCAACAAUUACAACAUUAUUGCCCAACUCUGUGACAUCAAAAUGAAUCUCGGUGGUAUCGAGUUGCACUAAAUGUGGCAACUUUUUGAAUUCUCGGUGAGACUGAUAUAUGAAUCUCGGUGGUACCGAUACGAUGACCUAUACUGGAUUUCCAAACUCUGUGAAACCGACUUCAAACUCGGAAUUCCCGAAACUUGAAAUUAGCUUAACCGAAAGUUGGUCACCCAAUCUCGAUGGCACCGAUAGGAAUAUUGGUUGUACCGAGAUGGUGGGAUUGACAUAGGGUCUGUCUAAGUGUAAAAUCCGUAUAGCCAAGUGAGAAAUGUUGGUGUCAUCGAUUUUCCAUAUUUGGCUUGGCUUGGGACAAAUAUAUAUUAUAGGAAAGUGGCUGAGUACUUUUGGUGGCUAUCUCUAAGCACUUGAGCAACUAAUUCAUCAUAAUAUCUCAUCCCCUUUUAAUAGUAUUGGCUUUUGUAUAGAUUCAAAUGUGAUUUCUCACACGGUGUAAAGUGAAGAGCCUUCUUGUUUGAAGCUUUAGUCAAUCAUAUCCCUUCCUUGCAUCAAAGGGGCAUCUCCACACAAUCCUGUAACCAAAGCUUUAUGUGGACUAUACCUAAAAUAUACUAGGUAAAAGUGUUAGUCCAAGAGACAAUGUAUGUUGUCAUGAAUUACCAAAACCACCAAGGGAGCAUAUGUGCUUUCAAUCACAAUUUUAUGACCGGACAGUGAUCGAGCGGUUUGCCCGAACGUUGAAAAGGAUUUAAGGGGUCCGGUUGUAGAUGCUCUUAAUAGCACCAACAUGCUCUACCCACGUAAAAAGAAAGGGGCCUGCUAAGCAUCCAUCGGUGGAUGUUUACUAAACAUCCACCACUUGGAGGGCCGUCCAAUCUACAUGUGGCCGUCGGAUCUGCUCCGGUCAAGCACCCCAUAAUUCCUGCAACGAUGGCUGAGUUGCAGAAACUUUCGCUUUGUUGCAAGGAAUAAACUUUGGACCCGUUAAUUCCUGAAACGAUGGCUGAGUUGCAGAAAUAAUUUGCUUGUUGCAGGAUUUUUUUUCUUCGUCUUUCUGCAACAUAGGUACUUUUGUGGGAGAAUUUUUUUGCAACAAAGGUCAUGUUUCAGGAAUUUUUACAACAAAUGUCAAGUUGCGGAAAUUUUUUGCAACGUUCAUGGACGGCAUGAAUGGCUGGCGGCGGCCGGAUGGUCAGAACAUAAAUCUAUAGUAGACCACUGCAACAUCGUAUAUGUUUCAGAAACAUAGUCUUUGUUGCAGAACCGCAUAGUCACUUGGACGCGUGUCUUACGGGGGAGGUGGCUGAUGCAGCCAUUAUAAUCCGCCGGCUGAUGGUUAGCUUUUCCCAAAAAGAAAAGCAUGCUCCAUUUCAGAAGAAUGUCUCACUAAAUGAAAUCAAUGCACAAUAUAGCAUGAUAUAAAUUCAUUACAGCGAAUUUGAAGGGCUGCGCAUGAUAUAAAUUCAAAUGCGAAAUGGUACUACUCGAGAAAUGAUGCGGCCCGCGGAAGAGAGCACAAGGCCGGCCCACGAGCCGGGUUUAAGCAGGGUUCUUCACUGGCUCCUUCCUCCCACCCUUCUUGCGGCGCGACCCGUACCCCCCGACCCCAACUCCCCCCUCCUCCCAUCCCACGCCAUGCUGCCGCGAUCGCCGGCGAGCCUCCACCUCCGGUCGCUCCGGUGGCCGCGCGGCUUCAGCUCGUCCUCGGCCCCGGCGGCGGCCGCGAAGGAAGGGGCUGACGGGAAGGUCGUGGCCGCGGUGGUGUUCGAGCGCCUCCCCGUCGUCAUCCCCAAGAUCCACCCCGUCGUCUACGCCUUCCAAGAAUUCUCGUAGUCCAGAUCCGCCCGUAUCUCCUCUAGUUUGGCGACGCCUGCUGUUUGCUCGUUGGGCUGACGUCGUCCCCCGUGCGGGGUUUGGUUUCUUGCCCCUUGCUAGGUUCCGGUGGAGGCAGCAAUACAGGCGGCAGUACCCCGACGAUGUCCUAGGCAAGGCGGACGCGAGGUGACAUUUCGCUCUCGCGCUUUGCGAUUUCUUCUGUGUUUAUGUUGGAGUUGGCCAUUUCUUGCUCAUAGAUUUGAAGUGUGUAAUGGGUUAAGUGCAUUAUUGGGUAAGGGUAGCAUAUUUUCGUUGCUGUGCCUGUUGGCACUAUACAAAUUGGGAAUGCUGGCACAAGAGUUCUGUAUGUCAUAAUAGGUUGGAAAUUUCAGGUAGAGGGAAAUAAUUAUUCUUGGUUUGUGUGCAAAAGGAACAGCACUGGUUAAGCAGCAUAACAAUUAAUAUUUACAAGAUACUCCCUCCGUUCCUAAAUAUAAGUCCUUUUAGAGGUUCCACUAAUUGACUACAUACGGAUGUAUAUAGACAUAUUUUAGAUUAUAGAUUCAUUCAUUUUACUCCGUAUGUAGACUCCUAGUGAAAUCUCUUAAAAGACUUAUAUUUAGGAACGGAGGGAGUACAUGGGAAGCAAUUCCUCAUGAGUAAACAAUGCAUGACCCACUACUGCCAAAAAUUUACAGGGAAAUAAUCCACAUGCCAUCUGGGCUUAUAUGCCUUGAAUAAAAAUGAAAUACCAACCUGCCAACCGUCAAGUUAGAGCCAUGAAAUGAAACUUGCGCACAAAUGGAACACUCUGGUUGUUCAGAUAGAGCAUCAGUAAAGGAUUUGAGUCUCAUUCCAUGCCAAUGAAGCAUCAUUGUGGCAGAAUCCCUGUGACCAGAAAUUGUACCUACUGUCAAAGUUAUCUGCUCCACAACAUAGAUCAUGCAUACACAACAGGCUUUUGUGAAUAUACAACAACUUCCAUGUGGUAGUGGAGUAUUUGCAGACAGGCUUUGAUUUAAUUCAUUUCUUUUCAGUUGCCAUUAUAUAGUACAUGAAACAUGCUUGUUUAUGUGUGCAGGGGCAAGGGUGAUUAUCAGAUAGACUAUGUGCCUGCUCCAAGAAUCACAGAAGCUGACAAAGCAAAAGACAGGAAGUAAGUUUCCAACCUCCAUUCCUGUCACUUUAUUUCAUAACUUAGCUUGUUUGUGUGCAUACUUUCUUGUGGUUAUUGUCAGUGUCAGUUACACUCUUGUUAUGCAAGCAUGUGCCAAGUUAUGUUGCAUGCUGCUCUGAAUGUUUCUAAUUAUAUUGAUAGUAUCACAUACUCCCUCCGUUUCUAAAUAUAAGCCUUUUUAGAUAUUUCAAUACGGACUACAUAUGGAUGUAUAUAGACGUACAUACGGAUGUAUGUAGACGUAUUCUAGAGCAUAGAUUCACUCAUUUUGCUCUGUAUGUAGUCCAUAUUGGAAUCUCGACUUAUAUUUAGGAACAGAGGGAGUAGAUAUGUAUGUGAUUCCGUAUAUAUUACUCUGUUUUGCCCUUCAUGCACUGCAUUCUAUGGUUGUGGCUCCAGAUUCUCAUUCUCUGUACCUUCUAUACCCUUACCAGGUUCUCUUUGCUUAUUCUUUUGUUUCUCACCUUAAGCCUAAUGAACUAUUUGUUCUAAAGGCCGAAACUACAGUAUCAUGUUAGUGAUAUUGUCUUGUCAUCAUUUACUUUUUUUGCUAGUGACAGUGUUUCCACGCCUUACCUGCAUGGAUGCUUCAGCCUAUGUGACCACCUUGUAUUGGCUACCAUUGCAUGUACUUUCCUGGGGUACAAACAUAUCCACGUGACCCUAUUUCUCUCCAUUUCUUACUCUCCUCAGUUGCAUGAAUGCACAUUCAUGUAUCUGUAACUACUAGAGUAACACAAAUAAUGCGUGCCCAGUUAUGAUUCCUUACUCUCCUCAGUUGCAUGAAUGCACAUUCAUUUUAAAUUGCAUGGUAUCAAAGCUGAUUUCAGCUUAACUGUCAUUCUCUCUCCAUCCCAUUCUAUUUAUGCUAUCAAUGUUGCUAGCAUCAAAACAUAUGUACCCAUCUCUUGUGAUCUCCGAGCUUCCAACUAAUUUUACUGGUGCUAGUUUUCUUAGUUGCGCUGCAAAUAUGCUUCCAGGGAUAAUGUCCUAGGCACUUUUCCACUUUUGCCAAUAUAUCAAAUGGGUGUGCCCAGUGCUGAAAGCUCCCACACGAUGUGGGGUCUGGAGAAGGGAAUUUCUAGACAGCAUUACCCUUGCAUAAUAAUAGUUCGAAUCCAGGAUCUCCAGGUCACAAGUGGAGAGACUGUACCACUGCUCCAGGCCUGCCCUUCGCCAAUAUAUCAAAUGGCAAAACUAUAAUAAUUACAUUGUCCUUUGUUGGCUACUUGUCUUGAUCUCUGCCUAUAUCUUUCACGUAAUGUAAAGCUCGAUAUGAUAACCAUUAGCCAAGAAGUGUACAUACAAUUAUAUUUUCAAGGCAGCAAUAAGAGGCACACCAUGAAUCUUGAGGCCGGGUGAUAAGAUAGGGAGUGCGGAAGAUCCAUUGUUCCAAAUAUCAGCCAGUUAAUCGGCAUCUCGGUUGGUUAAUCGCUACUCGGUGGGUCAGCGAAUAGCUGGUUAACUGAUUUAUCGGCCGAAUAACUGAUCUAUCGUCCGAUUAACUGGAAAAUUUGCCUAUUUAUCCCUAUUCAGCACCCGACCAAAUGGUACCAGUUAUUGAUAUCCUGAACAUUGGGAAGAUCUGCAACGCGAAUCACUAUCGUAUUCAGUAUAUAUAUGUACAGGGUAUACAAAAUUUAUUUUAACAAGUAAACCUAUUCUAAUGCACGACAGUUGUGAAGGGGAUUGCAGCAAGCCAUGUCACUUAGCAUGCCUGUGAUACAUGCUACAUACGAACAUUUCCGUUCAUGGACACACAAGUGAAGGUAGCACCUAGACCUAUGCAUGACAUGGAGGCAAGUACAGCAAGCCAAGUUAUCCAACAUGCAUGUGACGUAUGUAGUGUAUGAACAUGGUCAUGCAUUCUUCAUGGGUUGUCUGUGUCACAUGCAUGCUGUGGCUCACCUCCACAACCUACGUGAAUUAGAAUAGAUCUAGGCGAGCUUCGCUUGUAAGCAUAGUAUAUACCCCACU